Molecule: long non-coding RNA, 69651 nt
Filed under: Musa acuminata (dwarf banana)
Lineage: Eukaryota; Viridiplantae; Streptophyta; Magnoliopsida; Zingiberales; Musaceae
Description: long non-coding RNA (MACU_LNC004973)
Source: RNAcentral
CAGAGAGAGAGAGAGAGAGAGGUGGACGUCUGAUAAGUAGGAAGAGACCAAAUGAUUCAUAGACCCCACGACAGUCAAAGUUAAGACCAUGGAUGACAGAGAUCCAACAUGGUUGUGGGACUCCUUAAGUAUUAGAAAUUAAGAAAAAAACAAAAUUAUUCACAUAUAAAUAAUAUAUUCAAACUUAGUGAUUUUUUAUUUAUCCUUCUAAAUUUAAGUAUAUAUAUAUAUAUAUAUAUAUAUAUAUAUAUAUAUAUAUCGUAAUAAAACUCAAAACUUAGUUGUCACCGACAAAAUCUAAAUCUACUUAGUUGUCAGUGACGAGGCAGCAAGUCAGCUUCUCAAUUGAGCUCCAAAAAAUUGCUCUAUUUAAUUUGCGGCUGAGCAAUCUACUGUUUGAUGGUAGAUUUUGCAUCUGUCCACCCAACCCUUCUUUUCUAUAAACGCAACCCUUUGCCCUUCACAUCUCCCUCUCCUCCCUCCUCAACCUACUCUCCCAUAUAGAGGAGCCUUUGGGAGACCCAUCCAACUGUGAUAUGGGAGCUUCCACUGACCGUCGAAAUGGCUGCCGGCGAUGGCACGAGGUCGGGAACGAGCACGUGCCUCCCACCGACGUCCGGAUCGUGACCUCCGACGGCCAAAGCAUCCCUGCUCAUUCCACUGUUCUCGUAUGUCAUCAUCAUCGUCUUUGAAUCUUGCUUCUGAUCAGCUCAAGCCUUCUCUGGAUUGAUUGGGUCGUGAUGACAGGCUUCGUCUUCCUCCGUGUUGGAGCGGAUGCUGGAUCGUUCGCGGAUCCUCCACAUCCUCGGUGUCCCCCACGAUUCUGUCGUCGCCUUCGUUCGGCUCCUCUACUCCUCCAGGUUCAUCAUCUCGACGUGUGAACGCCUCUGUGUUGAGAUCGAAGCGGAUAGAAGCUGUAAGCAAGCGUGGUGUCUACUUUCAGGAGUGCGACGUCGGCGAGAGAGGCGAAGGAAGCGAUGGAGCGGCACGGCAUGGCCCUGCUGGCGCUGUCUCACGCGUACCGCGUACGGUGGCUGAAGCGGCGGUGCGAGGCGGGCCUGGCGGCGUGGCUGAGCGCGGCGAGGGCGAUGGACGUGCUGAAACUGGCGAGGCUGUGCGACGCGCCGCGGCUGCACCAGCGGUGUUUGAGGCUGGUGGCCGCGGACUUCGUGGCCGUGCAGGAGUCGGAGGGGUGGCGCUUCGUGCAGAAGCGUGAUCCGGCCCUGGAGCUGGAGGUCCUCCAAUUCGUGCAAGAAACAGCCCAGGUUUGUGAUCUGAUCAUCGCCAUGGAUGCUUGUCUGAGUCGUAAUAAUGAUCCUAAUUCUUAUUCUAUUAGACUGCUUGGUGAUUAGAUCUGGAUAGUUAGGGUGGAUUUGGAUCUGAUACAGAAGAAAUUAGCUGUCCUUUUUCGUUGUCUUUUGUUCUUGUAAGGUAGAUUAAGGUAAUUGGAAUUCGUCUAUCUUAGCUACCUACUCCGAUCAAAGGAAGUCGAGAAUUGAGUCGAACACUCGGUAGGAGGAGCCUUUGAGUGCUGAAAAGUCAAGUGAGAGAACAUAAUACAUGAAAUCCAAGCGAUUCCCAUUCCGUUAACCGACAAGAAUCGACAGAAACAUAGAAUUGUGUUGGGUAGUGGAUUAAUCCACGGUGAUCUGCGCAGCGAACGAAGCGGUGGAAGAGAGAGAGAGCGGAUCAAGCGAUGUACAGGCAACUGAGCGAGGCGAUGAACUGCCUGCAGCACAUCUACACCGAAGGCUGCACCGACGUCUGGCCGCACAACAGCCGCCGCCCCGACAACCCUUGCAUGAGUUUUAGCACGUGCGAGGGGCUGCAGCUCCUCAUCCGCCACUUCGCCACCUGCGGCCGGAAGCUGCAGGCGGCCACCAAGACCUGCACGCACUGCAAGAGGAUGUGGCAGCUUUUCCGCCUCCAUUCCUCCCUCUGUGAUCAGCCUGCCUCCUGUAGAAUCCCUCUCUGCAAGUAAGCCAUCCCUCUCGAGCUCAUCAACUAUUGCUUUUGUGUUGAGUUGUUCUUCUGGGGUCUUACCUACCGUCGUUGGCAACAGGCAGUUCAAGGAGAAGAUGCAAGAGGAGAAGGUAGACAAGACAUGGAGGCUUCUGGUGAAGAAGGUUGCUACUGCUAGGGUUAUGUCUUCAUUGGCCAACAGGAAGGUGCCAAAAGUAGUGCACAAGUCAUGGAUGAGAUGUAGAGGAACAAGAUAGGGUCAUGUACAAUCUUCUCUUUCUUGGCUUAGAUGAUUCUUUGAUUCCCACCUUGUAUGGAAGUAAGCCAAAUUCUACUCUAAGAAUGAUAUUGAUCUGUUGUAUGAGAUUGAUAUCGGUAAGAUCAUGCUCCUUACAGUAGCAGAAAUAGAGAUCCGCAGACAAAACAGAAAUGGCAAAACCAAGAACGAACAGUUUGCUUCGCUAUGGUGCACACAGUGACAUGGCAAACAUCCAGUAGAUGGAUUCGAGCAUGGUGAAAUGAGAGAAAACAAGAACCAAAUCAAGAACACUGUAUUCCUUUUUCCAUGGGAUUGAGUCAAGUAUUGCAUUCACGUACUAAACAUCUUGAGAAUAUAUGAGAACUGCUAACCCAAAACUAUACGUACUAUAUGAACUGCAGAUUUCUAUCAUCAGUGCAACUUACGAGAUACUAAGUUCUCGCCCUCUUCCACUCAUGGAAUGAACCUGUUGUUAAUGGGUCUUCGAUCGCUUACACGAGCGUAAUCCUGAUUCCACCACCAAGGCAUCCCAUCCGUCGUCGUCGUACUCGUUCCUCUAACCGCCGUCGGUCUCCGGUCAUCGUGCAGCCUGAUGGCGCCUUUGCAUCAAGGAAACGAAGCACGGAGACAGAGAACAUGUCAAGAACUUUGGGUGAUAACAACAAGAAUGACAUGAUGCAGUAGAAGGAAGGAUGCUUUACCAGCAGCUGUAGGUUGUUGAUGGAGGAAGGAGAGGACUGCAAGCACGAGAAGAGCCAUCCAAACCGCUGCGACUACUCUGAGAUACCCCAUGCUCCCUCUCACUGACCUCCCUUUUGUAUGGAUUCAAAGUUAACUUCUCUCAUCGGUUCAACGAAAGGAGAGUUAAGCGAGCAGACAACCAGGUUUGCUAGUUCCAGUGGCUGGCCUACAGGUUAUGAGAGAAAAGGAAUCUCUAGCUUCUGGUCUUUCUGUGAGCUUAGAGAAAGUUGUCUCUCUCUUCUUCUUUUGUUUCCUAUUGGAGGCUGAGAUCUCUCAGAAUACUUUGUCUCAUGUGAGCUCCACUAGCAGAGUACGAGCACAUGGCGGUGAGAAAUUACUGGUCUAAUGGGUGGACAAGGUCAUAAUGAGGGAGAUGUUUAUAUGAUUAGGGUUGGUUAAAAUUCCUUUCCAAGUCAAAAAGGAGGAUGGAGGGGACUCAUUACUGCCGACUGUCUGUCAUUAGAGUUACAGCCACUAGUCUUCUCUCAUAAUUGGUUGCCACCACCAGGAAAGACUAAUAUAUAAGCUUAAAGACCAUGGAGGAAGAUUAGAGACCAAGAAUUCUAGCUGCUCCAGUUGCAUAAAAAUGAUAGUUGGUCAAAAUAAGGAAAAUAGUAUUUCAAGUUCCAUUUAUUUAUUAGUUUGUCGACAUAUGUAAUAAUAAAAUUUGAAUAAUCAUAUCUAAUUUUCUAAGCUAUAAAUGUACCACAAACAUACUCCGGAUGAAAAUGUGUAUUUGAAAGUGUGGAAUUAAGAAAAAAAAUAAAAUAUUAUUUUCAUUGGGCGAUUGCCCUAUAAAUUAUUUUCUUUUUGGGUUUUAUUUUUUGGGAUGAUAUCCCAUUUUCAUAAUUCUCAAACAAUCAUCUAAUAUUUCUAAUGUCCCAAAAAUGCCCCUUCAAAAAGUUGUUAUUUUUUCCACCCAAUCCAAAAUGGGUGAUGUGUUUUCCUGCUAACUAUUUACAAUGUUAUGAUUAUACAAAAUAAAUCGAUUGGCAUUAAUGACGAAAGGAAAAAUAGAAGAUAUUUCUUAUGAGCAAUAAAAUAUUAAAUUCUUUUAAUAUGAUUAGAGAUGUUGUGAAUGACUAAAUGAAAACAAGUUUGAUGUAGACUCAAAGAUGACAUAUAACAAACUUUUCAUCCUAGGAGAACGCACUAAGAAGAAAUGAAAGAGCUUAAAUAGGUUCUCAAUGAUGAUGUUUAAGCAUGAGGCACAUGCUAAAGGGGGAAGCAAGGCAUCCUAAGCAGAUUUAAUUUUGAAGAACAUUAGCUAGUGAUCCUUCCUGUGGUAAUAGGACGGCACUUCUCUGGUCAUAUGGUUAGUUUCAAUACCUAGUAAAGAAGCCUCAGCAAGCGGAGGGCGUCGAAGCUUUUUAGUAUUGAACUCUCUAGCUGCCGUGUCUGGGAAUCUAGACAAACAAACAAUGCAACAAAAUCCAUUAUUGCAGGACUUACAACUUAGAGAGGGCCACCAAGUCUUCGCACAGUGAAGUUAAACCUGCAUAAGGAUGUGUAGCGUCCUUCCUGAGAAAGGGAACUGCAAAUUCUGACCAUGGCAUUUUCUUCUCUGCACUGCUGUCCGAGUACGGUCGUUGCUGAGGAGAUGAGAAUCAAAAUACCAAUCUGUAAGAAGAUUAGGCUAGCAAGGUGUUAAGAGUAUUGGAAUACAUGAGGCUGGAACCUAAAUGUUCCAAGAAAUAAAGAGUUUUCCAGUUUUGACUAUUUAGUAGCAGCUAGCUUCAUAAGCAUUUGGUUUUUGUGGCUGCCGAUACUGUUCUUUGGAAGCAACAUCGUUUGCUGUGCCUUUGCCUUUAGCAUAUACUGCUCUGCAGAUGGAGACAGCCUUCCCCAUGCACCCAAGCCCUGUCGCAGCCAACCUCCACAUUCGUAGAUGACUUUGAGUGGACCUACAAACAAGGUAGAAGCAACUACGAACAGCACAUACGACUUUUGUCACUGUGUGAAAAUGGGAACAAUGUGAUCCAGACCUCUGAUAAUAAAGUUUACCAGUGUCUCGCACCCAGAACCUUGCCUUUGGAGCUUCCCUUGCAGUCUUGGUCUUGGAUUAGAUUUAACAUCAUUACUGAACACGAUGAGUAUCUAAAAUAAAAUUGAUGAUAGUGAAAUCUUGAUCUCAAACAUCUGAUGCUUCACAAAAGAGAAGUACAUCCUCCUAAUUAUAAAUUACUGUGCAUCUAAUUUUCCUUACUACUUACUACUUACACAUGGAAGGUAGAAAAACAAAUUACUCUGUACUCAACAAAGUGUCACCCUGACCAAAUAUAUCUGGAAUUCCAUCCCAUUUUCCUUCCUCUCUUGCUUCCCAGUAUCCACCCACAUACUGGUAAUAGUCAUCCUCCACAUCUUUUCUGAACCACCUUGGUUGCCAUCCCUUCUCUUGCAGUUUCCUUGCCUAUGAACAAUGACAAAUUUAUUCCAACGUCAACCUGUCUCUAACAAAAAAAAAUUGUGCAAAGAUAAAAUGCUCAAAGUCAUGCCAAUCCAUUAGCAUGAAGUUUACUAUUUUCUUCUCUAUAUUUUUGAAGUGUUGAAUUAUCAAAGUGCCUUCUUUCUUUAUGAAAAAUUUAGGAAUAUCCUAUUAUUCAUCAGGAUGGCAGGCACAUUCUAACACUACAUAAAUGUGAAGGGUUAUAUAUUCUAUUUUUUUAUUGACAAAUCCAUGUCCAUAUUAUAGCUUAAUUAUCAAAGCGCCCAUAUUAUCAUAACUUAAUCCAUCAAUUUCACCUAUAUCAUAAAUAAUUAAUUCUAACGCAUGCUAAAUUUAGUUCCAACUAACAGGCUUACUCCAUGUAGUAAAUCAUAAUUCUGAUUCAACUAUUAUCUAGUUUGCUAUUGAAUGGAUCUCCAUUGUUUGUCCAAGACUCCUAUAUUAAAUGUAUCAAAUUUCCUGGUAGCAUGAUUUGACAAAUUUCAAAGUGAGAAAAGAAAAACUGGCGGUUACCUAAAAUCAUUAUCAAAGGCAAAAGAAAUGCAGAUGGAAAUCAUAGUAUGUGAGACAAUGGGGAAUAGUUCUACAUGUCGAAGCAGUGACAAAAUACCUGUCUUUGCAACUGUUCCAGCCUGAGUUUCUCUGCAUUUGCCAGCUCAUAUUCACCAUUCUCUAAAUGCCGCUGAUCAGGCCUUAAGCGGGAGUCAGUUGGGGGCAACUUCUCCAUCAAGGAUGGUGUCAACUCAUUUAAUGAAAUAGCAAAUGGUGUGAGGUUGUAUCGUGUUUGUGUUACAGACUUGUCUUGUUCCCAAAGCAGCACAGCCUCUGACAUUGGAUCAUAACCCUUUGGCUUUGUACUUGGGUCUCCGAGCACAUAAUACAUGGCCUCAUCCCACUUACCUAUCAACAUAGCUACCUUGUUACCGGUUCUAUUAUCUUGCACAAAACCAUGCACCUGAACAACAAAACAAAUCUCCUUGAGUAAACAGAGAGGUGAAGAAGACAUAAAUAUGACAGAUCACAAAACAACUGUGAAACCAUCACAAUAGCAAUCAUCUAAAUUUUAAAACAAGGACAUAAAAGCACCUUUCAUGCAAUAGCAUAAAUAUCAGAACAAAUGUAUUGAUAUAUAUAAACAAAGAACUACUAGAAUCAGAAUAGAAUAAUCCGUAUCACUCUAAUAUGAUGAAGCAUGCCAUCCUUGGAAUAACUUGCAGAUCAUUGUUGGGUCCAAUGCUUAUCGACUGUUUUUUAUGCAGUAAUCCCAUUACUACUUAUAGCAAGUCAAGCCCAAUUUUCGUGAUUUUAUUAUGGUUAAAUUUUUAAAAACAAGAUAGUCUGUUCAAAUAACAACUAUUGGAUAUUGCAUACUGAAGUAGUUAUUCUCCUUAUACAAAAUGGAUUGUGCUUAAAAUAGAAAAGAGAAAUUUACAAAUAUAAUAAAUAUACUUUAAUAAACAAGUUUACAAUCAAAACUGUCACAAGUGCUUUGCUGUAAGGGAUGAUUCUAUUUUUUUGCUUAUAAAAAAAAACUGCAUUGAUGAAAACAAUCAGUUGCAUAUAAAGAUAUCGCAACAAUUUUAUGCCGCUAGAACUAGUGACAAGUGUGUUUCGGGAUUCAGACAUCUGCAAGAUCGUAAAAAUACCUGAUGGGGAUUACGAUCAAUGAUGGACUGUUCUUUAAAUUUGAGCUUGCAGGAGUAAUGGCCACUGCCCCUUAUUCGCAUAGUACCAUAGUGGUCACAAUAGAUUUUUCCAAUAAUUAUGUUGUAUAUUGAAGUAGUGACUUUAGUCCACUGAAAUGUCUCUCCAUCUUCAAACUGAAGAGUUAAGAUCCCAAUAGGAUCAAGCUGAAUAGAUCGGCCCCAAAACUUUCCUUUUAGAUUGGAAUCACCCCAGAAUUUCCAUCCUCUACCCUCACAGUGACAAGCAACAAUCAUUGGAUGGUGGCUCACCUGAAAGAAAAUCAUAUGUUACUAAAACCAGUAAUGUGAUGUUCAUGACAAUGCUGUAGUGCUCCAAGCAUUAAAAGAACAUUUGUUGAACAGAAAAGAAUGAUAUGCAAGGAAUAGAAAUAUAAUGAGAGGGCAUAUCCAUCAUAAUUAAUUAUUACAUAGACCAACUGCCGAGGAAAGAGAAACUGAAACCUUCUCAGAGAAGAAGCGGAGGCCCUUGUCUGGAUAAUCAGCUUCAUAUGUCUCACCAAGAAGAGGGUUAAAGGGUUUGCACUGUCGGCCUUCUGUCGAAGCAUACCCAGAAACAGCAAAAGCAGCAAUGUGAAGAAUCCUCAUCAGGCUGUUUCCCUGCAGUAUGUUCAUCUUGUUUCCUUGUUAUCAGCAUUCGAGCAAUAAUAAAUAUAUUCAUAGACAUCAAAGAGUGCAUUUCUUACAAAAUCUUUCAUUUUUUAUAUAUAACUAUGUCAGGCAGAUGGAGAUUAUGUUAAUGGAGUCUCAUAAUAGCCAUGAUUAAUUAAACCAGCAACUAAAGCUACAUAAUGUUGGUUUUAUUAGUACAUAAAAUUUAAAAGUCUGCCAGAUAUAGUGGUACCGAAAUUUGAUAGUCUAUUGUCAGUUCUUUGCUAGAACUAUUUCCAAACUUAAGGAUGUUUCGAUUAACAUAAAAUUUAAGGAUGUUUCAAAGAGAUAUAACCGUAUUCACUAUAGUUUGAAUUAACAUUACAAUAUUUUCAGCAACCAUUCUAAUCACUACCGGCACUAUCGCCAUCAAGCAUUCAUGAUCACCAUUCUGCAGGAUCAGAAGCAAAAUGAGAGAUCUGGAUAAAUGUGACAACAGUUAAGAAUGGUACCACAACUAAGAAGAUAUAGGUCACAGCUUCCAUGCUGCUUCCUAUCAACAUAUCAUGGGCGACACUGGAGAAAUCAAAUUUGAGAAGGCUCCAAUGAAGAUCUAGUAAAAUUUUAAAACUGACUUUCCACUACCACAUUAAGUCCUUGCAUGUGGCAACCAGAAGACUUUCAACCAUAUCUACAAGGUUUUUAUCUCAAUAAGCAGAGAGAAGAUUUGCACAUGAUUACAAACAGAAACAGAUGUAAUAGUGGCCUUACCACAAAUGAUACUACCCAGUUUACACUAAAACGUCAGGUCUUAGAGCUAACUAGAGAGGGACCAAAUAAAUUAUGGUGAAAUAUAGUCCAUCAAAGCCAUAAUUCAAUAUGGAGUAGUUCCUCGAAUCAAAGGUUGUCUGAAAAACACACGGGAAGAUAAUCUUAUGUUGCACUGAAGGUGUUUCCUAAAGAGGAAACUUUCAAAAUAUGGCACUGCAUGUGUCGCAAGAUAUAUCGGUUAAAUUUUGGAUGAUAUCCUUCAUCUAGUACUUUCUGUAAUGGACAAAAUGCACCUACAUAAAAUUAUUCCAUCGACUUGUCAUCCUGGGUUCAAAUCUAUGAAAUGGACUAUACAAAAUGUGAAAAAAGGGAAUAAUUUUGGUAUUCCUAAGGCCUGCAACAUUGUUAUUAGCCAGCACUACGUUGUCUUUUCGGAAUAUGCACCUACAUGAAAGUAGAGGUAAUUUUCAUAGCAGAUUUUACGCAUUAGGAGUACCUCACUGCACCAACCUGGAAAAAAAUAAACCUAAAAAGUUCCAAAAGAAGGUUCAUUUGCCUACCGAAUAGCCCUAGGAAAUUUUUAGUCGUCGGUGCUGCAGUUUGUGCAAUCUUACUAUCUUUAACACAAAAGCAAGUCGACCUUGCAAGGAUUUAAAUCUUGUUCUGAUAUCAGUUUCGGUAAUCUACCGGACUGGUAUGGUACCAGUGUAAUAGAGUAUAACGAUCUGUACCACCCAGAAUCACUCGAAGAAAAUAUGAAAAGAUUAUAUACUGACGGUAUGAGACCAUAUGGUUCAAUACCGAUCCUUGCUUCGACAGGGAAAAUAUGGAUUAGCAUACACCAUACAGACCAGUAUUUACCUAGCCAUAAAUUAACCAAAUAGCUUCUGAUUUGCUUUAACAAAAGUUUAAUUGGUCAGACAAAUACUCAAAUAGAUAACAAACAUAAAUGUUUCAAUAAGUGAUGGAUCAAUCAAAUCUACAAAACCAUCAUAAGAAUGUAUGAAUCUUCCUAUAUAUGUUAAGAUUCAUUGGAUGAGGAUAUAAUGCGACAUUUUUGUUUUGUGUACAUGAUACUAUGACAUGAAUGAUCAACUAUCAGCUUAAUAAUUAUUGCUUAUGCAUAUGUUAGACUUAAGUGGACACUCCUACCGUCAUGUAUAGAGACGACCUCAAACAGGUUUAUUAUAAAUAUUAAUGCAUACAAAAGUGAGAAUAUUGUUCUACGGUACUAUAAUUGAAAAAAAAAAAACAAAAAAUAACUAUUUAAAAGGUGCAAUUAACCACGUAAGAAGUUUCUUCAUUAUUAUUUGAUAUAUUAGAAUCACAUGAAAGACUAGGAAAGAUUCUCGCCAACAGAAAAGAAAAUCUAAAAGUAUAACCAACAACCCAUUCCACUGAAGAUUCAAUAAAAAAUUUGUAGAUAAGAUAUUGUACGAAGAAUUGUCCUGGUCAAGACCAAUGAUCAGGUAAUAUGCUUACACUUCUAGAAUAAAAUUUCUGAAGAAUUAAGGCUUCCAAAUAAAAGACCAAGACAAACAUUCUCCUAAGCAAUCGAAAAGUGUAUUUCACCAAAAUGAAAAGAAAUUAAAUGUGUAACCAUACCUGCCUUCCCCAUUCUAACGCUCGAUCCACCAAGUAAGAAUGUUCCAGAUCCUCAAAGCAUUUCUGCAGAGAAGAGAGUGGCUCAUUGAAGUAAACAGGAAGACAGACUCCAGAAAGAUCCUUCCCAAUAUUCUCUUUGAUUAUUGACCACAAACCAACAGGUUUCUCCUUUUCCUUGGGCUCAGGCAAUUUGUUCCUCCGCUUAACAUAUGGAUACUCAAUCAUUUGAACUCCUGUACUAAUAUCUUGAAUAUUGUCGGGAAAGUAGGAUUCAGUACAACAUGUUGACCCAGUGCAACAAUUACCCAUAACUUCCCUACUACGAUACGAAGCACUUCUAAGUGACUCGGAAGAUAAGAAGUCUCUAGUAUCAAAGUACAUGCCAUCAUCUUCAUCUGUUUCUGCAUCUGCCCCUUGACUUUCAUUAUCAGCUUCAGAGUCAGUUGCUGUUCCCUCUGAUAUAACUGAAUAGAAAUCUGCACAAAAGAAAAGUGAGGACUGUUCUCAAAAAGGAAAUGCACAGACAAGUCUAAACAAAAAUUGAGUUUAGUUAUGUUUAUUACAAUAUCAGAUGGUAAAAGGUGUAUAAUUCGGGCAUAAAACAUGAAAAUGUAAGGUAAAAUGGUAAAGCUGCCAAUUAAAUGUCUAACAUAAACAAGAAGGGUAAAAACAGCAUGAUCACUGGAAAUAUGAAAUUUAACAUUAAAAAAAGAAUUAAUUGUAAAUUCCAAAUUAACUAAAGCUUUUUCAAAUAAAAAAGUUAAUCGUAUGGUCUUGGGCUCGAAUCCUAUCUUCGCCGCUUACUUUUUCAAAUAAUAAUAAUAAUAAUAAUAAUAAUAAUAAUAAUUUGGCCACUUAAUUUUGAUAAACUGUAUAAAAUCAUCAUGCUUUUCUACUACAAUUUUGAGUUCUAAAUUGAAUCAGUGACUAUCUUGUUCAAACCAUUUGUCCCACUAGCAACUUGUAAAUUCUUUCCAUUCGUCUCUGUGUAAUUAAAUUGUAUGCUAUUUCUAUUAUUCCACAGAUGAAUAGGGAAUCUUGCAUAUUUUGAUGGCAAUAAGUGUUCCAGAAUGCAGAAUGCAUACCAUUUAAAUUUUUGGAAAAAAACCAUUGCAUUUAGGAUAUAGCAGCUAGAAGAAAAGAAUUUAGGGAUCAACAAGUGCAUAUUCAUCACAUAAGACAAAUAUUUUUAAGAGUGGGACAAAUGGUUUGAACAAGUUAGUCACUGACUCAAUUUAGAACCAAAAAUUCAAAAGCUUCAGUAUGUUACAUAAGCAGCUUGGAACAAAGAUUCAUGUAAGAUAGGAACAAGAUCCCAACACUACCUAGGACUAAAACGAACCAAUGGUUGAUGAUACAGAUAUGGAAACAAGCAACACACUAGAUAACAUAAAUUUAUGCUUUUACUUCUUGUAUUGAUAUCACAAAUCAAGGAGACAUAAACAGUACUAACCGCUAAAUCUUCCAUUCAUCAGUCCAAGAUGUGCUUCACGUUCCUUUGUUUCAUCAAUCACUGUAGUUUCCAAUUCAACUUUCUCUGUCUGCAUGAACAAAACUCCAGCAAUAAGGGUACUCGCUAUACAAUUAUAAUAAUAGUAAGCAAAUAUUUACCCAUAAGAAACAGUAAUUAAUUAUACAUAAAUAUGCAUAUAAUAUAAUAUCUAGUUGCCCUUUCCAAGUAAUAUUAUGUUCUUUCUUAAUUUUUCGUGUUGGUUUGUCCGCAUCGUAUCCAUGCCCCUAUGUCCAUUUCCCCAUUUACUCAUCCACCCUUUUAUCCCUGUGCUUUCCUCAUGAAUCCAUGCAUCUCCAGUUACAAGGAGGGAAAUUAAUAGGAAAAGGAAAAAGUAGAAGAAAAGAAUAAAAAAAAAAAGAGAACAUAAAAGAGAAGAAAAGAGAAAUGAAAUAAGAAGAGAAGGAACGAGAAAACAAGGAAAGAAAAGAGAUCAGAACAGAAGAAAAGAAGAUUAAAGAAAAGUUUUGGCUUAGUAGAAACAUAGAAAAAAUAGAGAAUAUGAAGAUAGAUAACAAACAAUGUAAAAAUAGCAAGUCAAAUGUAAUAAGAAUGCAUAUGAUAAUUUAUAACAAAUAAGAAAGUAUAAACAAAUAAUAUAAACUAAAAACUACAGAAUAGAAUAUAAUAUCAGAUCAAAAAUAAAAACAUCUAAUAAAAUUAGUCUCUAAAAACAUAGAAGUGUUAACUGCCAAUUUCUAUAAAAACAUAAACUACAUAAAUUUAAUAUAGAGCUGGACAAUCAGAAAACAUUCAAAAUUUAUUUACUAAAAGUUCAUAAAAAAUAAGGAAAUUAUUAUGUGAAACGAUUAAUAAAAAUAGAAAUGAAUCCAUAAAGUUAUAGAAAGAUAAUAGUCUCUCUUCUCACUUCAAAAGAGUAGUUAGAUUCAAAUUUUCAAAAAAAAAUUUAAAAAAUAGAAGCAAAGCUAAAUAAUCACUAAAAGUUUAAUAUUCUGUUUCUAAAAAUAAUUACUAAAUAGUAUAUCCGCUGUAAUAAUCAGUAAGAGAGAAACAAAUUGUUAAUUUAUCUAUAGAUCAUUAAAUAUUUUUCCGUUUUCCUGUUUCCGAAUCAGUAUAUCUUGACUCUUAAAUGAUUCCAAAGUCUUUUUGGUUGAAAUCCUGAUCCUCCAAUCCAUAUCGUCCAAUUUAUCUAUUGCUUGAAGUCUUGUGAUCCUGAUUCUACCCACAGGUCACUUCUGAUCCUAAUUUAAAAUACCAAGUUAAACAUUAUAUGAUGCUGUGCUUCUUCAUUUUAGGACCAAUUGAUGAAUAAUGUUAAACACAAAAAGAACAGUUUUAAAGCACUUCAAGCACCCAAUGGCAUUAGAUACUGUAAAUUUUCUUCUCAGGUGCUAUAUCAUUGAAUUUUAUUGAAAAGUAACAAGAGCUCUGAUUAAUAGCAAAUGAUCAAAAAGAGGUAAAUUUAUUUUGGCAGAAUAUUGAUUUAAAGCAAAAUUAGAGAAACUUAUCAAACUAAUUAUUGUAUCAAUUAAUUGAAAAUAAAACCCUCCUAUUCUAUGUUGCAUUGCCAAUGUAUUAGCCUCAGAGUCAUUUUAUAUCUACCAGCAAAUUAUUUGAACAGUGGUAUACCAUUCUUUAUAAAAUUUCAGAAAUUUUACCUCCAACUGCCUUAAUGUGUCAAGCAGAAUAAGAUGCUUCUGCUGCAGAGACUUUAAUUGAUUCUGCAGCUCAGAGAUUUCAGAUAGCAUAAUAGACUCACAUUCUUUCACUGUUGAUUCACUCAGUCCUUCCUGCAACAGUCUUCCUCGCAGCUUGUCAGUCGAGACAGUAACUUCUACUGAAGGUUCAGAUGCAUUAAUUGUCAGCAAAUGCGCAAAAUUCUCUUUGGCAGACAACAAAGCUUCAAUCCAUGCAGUUCGAUCUUCUCUAGAAUCACACCGUAGAUGAAGAGUUUUCGUGCCAGUAAAAAUAUACAGCCUUUUGUCAUCUGAUUUGCUAGCACGAAUUGAAGUAACCUGAAAAAUCAUUUCACUGUGCACUCAUAAAAAAAAUAUAUUAAAUAGGAGACCAUGUAACUAGUUUUGAAUGGAUUAAGAGAUCAUAGCAGGAUCCAAACAAAUACCACAAUGGACACAGGUUGAAGCAAGAGUAAGCAUGCUUAUUUUGAUCAUUUUAUUUUAUUACUGAUCAAUAAAAAUUAUGCCAAUACCAUAGGUAUUGCUAUGCAAGGAGCUAGAAAGAAAACACACUUGCCUUCGAAGGAUGUUUUCUUGAUCGUACAACUUAUUCAUGUAUUGUAGAAAAUGUUAUGAUGGAUCGUUGAGGCAAAAUUUAGAAGAUAUAAGAACUAAAUUGUAUAUUGCUAUAGAGCAUAAACCAUAAUUUCAUGAAUGGGAAAUACCUUCCAUCUUCAAAAAGAUGUCUUUGUUUUAGCAGAUUGAUAUCUGAUUAACAACUGCACAAUGUUCAAAGCUCAAUUUUGCAAAGGAAGAACUAAUAGGACUAUAGAUAACCUGAAGGAUGUUAUCUUACUGCCCCAGAAUUUCCUGUAUAAUUUGACUAAUAAUCAUGGAAGACAGCAGAAAAAAUGAUGCGAAACAACUAAAUUACAAAGACAAGAGAAAUCCUUCAAAAUUAUAGCUAAUAUACUGGUAUCCUCUCUUUUUUUCUUUGCUUAGCCUGAGAUAUGAAUUUCUUGAAUUUACAUUUUUCUUGGCAUGGCUACAGGUAACUUAUAUGGUUAAGCUCCCUUAUCUGUGGGCAUUCUUGUUGUACAAGAUUGUGGCAAAAAAGAUAAGUAAUGAUGUAAUUUGAAAAGCGAAUGAACAAUCAGACAUAAUGUCCCAACUAUUUUAGGUUAGCUCCAUGAAUCUUUUCCCACCAAUGAGCUCUCUUUAGAUAAUAUCACUUGUACUGUUUUACAAACCGACCACACUGAUCGAUACUGCUGACUUGUGCAAAGACCAAGCAAUUUCACUCAGUCUAAUCCUAAACCUAUCUUACCACUUGGUAAACUUAAGCUGGGCCAUUAUCAAGUGGUGUUAAGCAACAAUCUACAGCCCAAUAUGAAACCCAUUAAUGUAUUUUUCCUCUUGUCUUCCCCGUUGCCGCCUCUCCUCCUCUCUGCUGCAUUGUUGCAUCACCAUCUCCCCGGUCAUUGUUUUCACUCUUCCUCUGCUCAUCCAUAUCGCCACAUCCUCAUUUCUCCUCCAUCACAUGGGACCACUCCUCCGUCUCCUCCUUUCCUCCACCAUCUCCUAUUCUCUCUCUUUCUCUAUUUGUAGUGGUCCAUCCAACCACUACGAACGAGUAUCAGCCCUUACCAACAUCCAUAUACUGUAUGAUAUUGACGUCAUAACGGUUUGACCAUCAACCAGUAUUAGUACCAGAUAGAGAUCUUAAUCCUUGUUAAUAGUCUAAUUUAGAGCAAACAGUUCUUUCUCCUAAUGAGGUUUUAAGCCUCCUACUUCUCUUCAAAUUGGAAGUCUUAAUUGAUUCACUCAUCAAAACAGGGUUAAUUCUCCUGCGUUCAUAGCAUCUUUAAAUGGUUUUUCCUCAUGUUACCUUUGGUCAGAAGUCCAUUUAAUUGUUCAUGAAAAACAAUAAGGAGUCAAUUUAACCUUGGUGCAACCACGUAGUAACCAACAAUGUAUCUUCUACAAAAUUUUGAAGUAACUACUCUAUCCUUUAUGUAUUUGGCCACGAUAAUGUAUCCACUACAAACUCAUUUCUUUACUAAUUCUCAGCACUUUUUAUAUAAAGGAAUUUUGUCAUAAGUUUAUUUUCCAAGGCAUCAUAAAAUCUUUACAAAAAUAAUUAUAUACUAUAUUUUAAGUAAAUAGUUUAUUGCAACCCAUCUCAUAUCUAUAAAUUGUUGUUAUUGUACUUUUGAAAUUAUUAUGCAUGUAUGAUCUAUCACAAUAUCCUACUGAGUGACAUGUUCUUUGGUCAAAUAUCUAGAUAAAGGACUAUCAAGGUAGUGAUUAACCCUUCCAGUCACAACAGUGAAACACACAUCCAAUAGGGCAUUAACAUUUUCAUUUUGCUAAAACCUCAUAAGUUAGAAGAGAAAGAAAGAGAAUGUGAUUCCCUGGGAGGAUGAAACUAGCUUGUCGGGAGAUCAGAAAACAAUUUAAGAAAAUGAGCUUAUAGAAGAAACCACAUAAUUAACAGGGUCAACAUCAUUAUCACCUAGUUCAUGUAUAAACCAUUUCUGAUAUUAAAGAUUGUCACCCAUGCUUUUACUGAUCUAAUUUUCAAAAGAACUUGAACUUCAUAUUUUGCCGCAUCUGCUGAAAUAAAUCGUGAUUUCAGUGAACCUAAACAGUAUAAAGAUCCUACAAAGACCCGUAUUCCCGAGAGAUUGGGAUCAGAAGGAACAGUUUCAUGAUAUCAUGUCUAAACACAAAAUAACAUGGCAUGACCCCGCUGCUUGUUGCAACUUCAAAUCCACUGGCAUCAAGAAAACUUAACUACACGAUUCAACAGCAAUAGAAUACCUCAAGAAUCAUAUCGACUUAUCGAGUAAGAGCGAAAUAUUCAGUAGUAGCGAACAUAAGAGAUGAAGAGCAGCCCGAAAUCUCACCUUCAGGUGUACCUCCCCAAAUGGCUUCCACUGGUUUGCAGCCCCCCAACCCACGAAACUACCGCUCUCCCACUGCUGCUCUUUCCUCACCCGUCUCAGCGACUCCUCGCCGAUGACCCUCACCCCAGCCUUGCACGCUGCGGGCCCCACCGAUACCCUAUCCGGCCCAUGAACCUUGUAGUACGACAGCACCCCGUCCUGCAGCACGAACCACCGCGAACGCCACCCUUUCCCGUAGUUCACCCACUUCCAAAGAACCCCCGCCACCGCCCCAUUCCCACUGCCACUCUUGGCAUCCCCACCCUCCGCUAACCCGGCCGCAGCUGCAGCCUCAUCCGCCGCUUCGCGGCGCGCGGCGGCAUCCGAGUCCGAGGGUAUCGUUGGUGCCUGGAUCAGCUUCUUGCUGGACAAGCUCCUGGAGGGGCUCUCGGCCCCCAGCGGGGGCUUCGCCGCCUUGAGCGUCCCCACCUGGGAGGGGUCCCCGCGGUCGCCCCGCUCCAGCGACACGGGCGCAAUGCAGCACAGAGGAUUCAUCUUCCAGGGGGUUGCGAUCUCCAGAAGUUCCACACCAAGGAGAACGAUCAAGCAGAAGAGAUCAAGCGACGAUGAGAUCUCGCCGAAUCCAAAUCGGCGGAGAGGGGCUGCGAUCGGAGGGCCGCCAUUUCAGGGAUCGGCGGAGCGACAUGAGAGCGCCGCAUCCAGAUCUGAAGAAGAAGAAGAAGGGGAGAGAGAGAGAGAGAGAGAGAGAGGGUUGGGUUGUGCUAAUAAAGAAUAUUAAUGGGCGGAGGAGUUGUUAAGAGAGGAACAGAAGAGGGCAGAGGAGGAAGGCAAGUAAGCGGAGGCGCGGCAGAUCUAUUAAAUUCGCUGAACGGGCGCAGCAGAAACGGCGGCAGCUGCAGCACCAGCGGUGGGCAGGGCAGCAGGCAGACUAGUAGAGAAGUAGGGAGGGAGGGAGGGAGGGAGAGGAGAGGAUGAAAGAGACCGGAUGGGCCUCCCACGGAUCGCCCGUUUGCUCCACCUCUACGCCACAUCUUACAAUGGCGUCACUUGGCUGCCAAGUGGCCGUGCCGGUGAUCCGCAGAUGGGUAGGAAAACGGGUAGACCGGAGUUAGUGAAGUCAUCUCUCGCUGGGCGCUCGCCGAAGACCGCGGUGGGUCCCCUUGGCUCCUUCAGUGAUCGCACUGGUAAAGGAGGUGGUAAGGAACGGACGGAGACGGGCCACGGGGUUCUCUCCCAUUCACCGCGAUGGCAUAUCAAGGCGUCGACGACGGGUGGAACGGAGAAAUCGCUUGUGGUGAUCCGUGUGGAGCUUACGUUGGUGCACGUUUGGGCUGGGUGGUGGUGAGGAGUAAUAGAAAUUGGAUGUCUCUUUUAUUGAGGGAAUAUAUUUGAAGGCAAAUGCUUGAGCUGGGAAACCUUCGGAAGAGAGCAUGAGCAUUGAAGGGGGAGGGGUUGGCUUGGUGAUCUCUUUUCUUUCACUUUAUGACUUUUUGUUUGGCAUAUGUUAUCAUCCCAUCUUCUUUUUGGUGAUUUAUGGCUAAUGUGACUACAAUCAUAAAUGAAAAUGGGGCCAUGGAUAUGAUCGACUAUAUUAUCAUAAAUAAAAAGAGAUUCGAUUUUUCUAGUGUCAAGUUCUUUAUCGACUAAGAUAGGUAAUAUCUAUUAUAUUUUAAAAAUAGAUAUGAUAUAUGAUAUUAUCAUGAACGAAUAAUUCAUGAAUUUAGUCACAGUCGUAAUGUUUUGGAAGAGAGUUUAUGCCUCACGCACAUCAACCAUUCAAAUAAAUACAAAGCAUUAGCACAAGGUUUAAGAAUUCUUUUGGAUUCCAAACAAAAAAUAUUCACUUAUUUUCUACUAAAAAUAAAAAUAUGAAUUACCAAGAAAAAUUCUUCAUUUGGGUUUUCUUGAUAAGCGCUUGUCUGUGUUUCGGAUUUCUCAAAUGGCAUUCCCAAUUUUGACUUAAUUCUUAAAAUACUCGAGGAGUAUCUAAUUAUACCUCAUAAAUCGUUUGUUGAAUAAGUCUAAUUAAUUAGAUAUAAGUUUUUUAAUAAAUAAUAUUUUAAAAAUAUAUAACGUAUAUUUAAAAAUAUUAUAGUCGACAUAUAAUUCUAUUUAAAAUUUUAUUUUUAUAUUAGUUAGUUUUUGUUGAGGGAAAUAUUUGUUGACGUCCGGAUGUGGUUCAAACCUAUAUAUAUAUAUAGGAUUAUCCAAAGUUCUUUUGAAAGAGAAACAUUAAGCUAUCUAGAUGCCAUCUACAUGAAGAUUGAGAUUGGAAAAUGUUUUUUGACCCGAUCUCUCUGAUGUCCCCAAAAUAUAUGAGUAUGGACAUGAGUGAUCAAAAAAUACUUUUAUUUUUAUUAUAAUGAAAAUAAGCUUUUAUAUGUGAUCGUAAAGGGAUAGAAUAUUUCUAGAAUAUUCUAUGAGGAGACAGCCUCUAAUUAUUUUUAACAAUCUCCCCUUGGGAGCAACCCAUAAUAACUUGCCUUAGACCCUAGAUAUGUGAAUGAUGCUCUUUGUCUACUCCUUCUACCCUAAAUAUUAUAUGAUGGUCAUGUGUUAGAUGAAGAUUGAUUAAUGAUAUACUUCUAACAUUUGUCCCCCUCCUUUCUAUCAAGGCGUGCUUUGAGAUUUUUUUCGAGAGGAGUCUAAAGUGCAACAUCUAGUUCAUACAACAUGUUAAGCCUAUACCUCUUUAAUCUAUCGCUUAUUUGGUGGCACGUUUAGUUCGUUCGACACGUUUCAUUCAUCGUGCCCGAGCACUGUUGGUGACGAUCUCUCAUCGAUCUACCUUUAGUAUCAUCGAGGGAUGCACAUUGGUUUGACAAGGUCGAAUUUCCUAACCUACCAAUCUCUUCUCGACCUAAUUGAGUUUGCCAACCUCCACGGCUCAAGCGAAAGAGGGGGUCAAGUUUUUCCAACCUCCAUGACUUAAACGAAGACGGGGGUCAAGUUUCCCAACCUUAUUGUCUCGGGUGAAAACGAGAGUCGGGUUUCCUAACCUCCAUGCAUCGAGUAAAGACAGGAGUCGGAUUUUUCAACCUCCCCAUCUUUGGUGAAGGUAGGGGUCAGACUUCCUGACCUCCAUGCCUCUACGAAGCUGAGGGUUAGGUUUCUCGACUUUCUCAUUUUGGACGUAAGCAGGGUCAAUCUUCUUGUCUUCUACGCCUGAAGUGUAGGUGAAAGUUGAGUUUCUUUUAAUUCAUUAUUUUAAUGAAUUAAGAAAAAAGUAUAAAUAUUUUGUAAUAUUGCAAUUGCAAAAUGCAACUUAUACUUAUUAGCAUAUGCUUAACCAUUUUAAAUCAACUAUUCAUAUUUAAUUUUGAUCCUUAUUAAGUAUAUAAGAGAUUUUCAUCUUUUUUAAUAACUCAAUAUUGGGAAUGCCAUUAUUAAUGAAUUAUCAAUUAAAAUAAUUUUAUAAAUAAAAAAAAAUUCAUCUAAAAUGAAUUAUCAAAUAAAACCUCCAAUUUCCCUCAAACUCUCAAUUGUUCUCUUUUUUUUCAUCAAGGAAACUAUGGCAAAUAGAAUCGAGUUUGACGAGAGGUCUGACCGACGGCGUCCACGGUCAAGUCAACGUCAAACUGCGACUCCCUACCCGUAAACAGUAUCUCAACGAUUCAUAAGAACGAACGUAACAGUUAAUGGGUGGAGACACCAAACAGCAACGAGGAAAUUGUCGGCAUUUUAUAUGCGAUGCUGCAGCAAACCAAACAGCAGAUCCUGAGGCACCAAGCAAACCAAACAGCAGAUCCGAAGCCGUGAGCACAGAGCAAACACGUGGCAAUCCUUGAAAGCUUUCCCCUCCCAGAUCGCGGGAUCCGCUGCCCUGCGGGCGCCACCUGUCUCUGGAUGCGUUGUGGAAUUUUACCCGUGAUCCUGAAGGAAACCAAGCAGCAGAUCCGGAGGCGCGAGCACCCGGCAACAACGUGGCUGCGUUACAAAGCGCUCCCCUGCCAGAUGGCGGUAUCCGCUGCGCUGGUCGCGCCACCUGUCUUUGUGUGCGUCGUGGAAUUUUACGUGUGAUUCUGCAGCAAACUAAACAGGAGAUCCGGAGUCCACAAGCACGCGGCAGCGACAGCCGCCAAACACUGCUCUUCUUCUUCAAAAUCGCGGGAUCCGCUACGGCGUUGCUUCAAGGCGAGCCACCCGCUCCCAAUCUGACACGCGGACCUUGCUUCGUCGUCGUCGUCGUCACUAGCAUCGCCGCCGAAUCGCGCCGGUGGAAACUCUUCUCUGGUCCCCCAUUGGGCGCUGCUUCCCGGCCCGCAGUGGUCAUCGUCAGCGGCACCGAGUAUGGGCGACAUCAAAUUGGUUGUAUGGGAGUCGUUUGAUGAUAGAAUACAUGUUCUGCGCAUAUGGAUGAGUCUACUAUAGCUGCAGACUGACGCAUUGUAUCACCGAACAAAGAGAAACAUGGCGACAACCCAAAACAUCAGAUAUCUAACUAUAAGUUCCAGCAGCGUUCCACAUCAAUGCAACUCUCAUAUGCAGAUUGUAAUAGAAACAUAAGUUAUGAAACUAAUGACUUCAUUUCCCCCCAAAAAGAAAAGGCUUCCGUGUUGCUCAAGUGAUUUGUCAUGCUGGAUCCCAGUAACAUCCAUUAAAUUGGGUCUACAUGAAAUCAAAUAUUGUCUGGUUUUCUUCUUUCAGACACUCUGUAGACUGAGAAAGGAAAAAAUAAUGGAAGAAAUGAAGGCAGUUGUGAAGUUAUCGAAUGGCCAUAAAUAGAGGAAGCAAUUCCUGCAUCGACGAUAAGCAGCAUCAGCAUUAUCCAUCAGAAAAUGGAAAAAGAAUCUUCUUCUCAUAUGUGAAGCUAAUUGCAAUAGAACUUAUGGGGCUCUGUCAAAGGGGGAAGUGUCAUUGUAGCAGAUGUCCCAGACAGCCUCAAUGGCAUCUUUUGCAGCUACAGCUGAGCAAUAUGGAUUGUUCUGAACCGACUUUAGAGCACGCCUUCGCACACAUUCCUUUGUGUCCCCAAUAAAUAUGAGACAAAAUAUUGCAAUUAGUGUAGCCAUUAUUUGAUUAAUACAACGCUGACAGUAUUAACAAGGACAGAGUAGAAAAAUCAUCAGACAACAUAGUUGAUUAAUUCAUGGAGCAUGGUAACAAUUUCUCAUGUGUAUUAAAUAGCAUAUGAAGAGGACAAAAGAAAAAGAGAGAAAGAGUUGGUUUGCAUAACUAGAAGUUAAAGAAAUUUGGCAUCACUACAGGAGCAGCCAACUCUGUUAAGCUUUUGCAACCUACAACUGAUUUCACAUCCCAAGAAAGCUUGUUCAUUCUCUUAUACAACUUUUUAGUUAAAUAUAAUGAUAACAAAACUGAUCAAAUAGAUUUUUCCUGACCUUUUGCAAAUAUUUCUUCAACCAAGAUCUUGCCAUCCAACAGUAAAUAUAUAAAGAAACAAUCGGGUCAAGUUGAACAUAUGUCCAAUGCAUAAGCUGCAUUGGUGUAAAUUCUGCUUUCAGAUUCGAUGUUAUUUUUGUCCACACAGGUGGCACUUCCUAAGUCCAUCCAGACUGACAUUUAUAAGGUUUUGGUUAAAUGUUGCAAGUUCUUAUCACAAAGGUUUGAGGACUCGAUCUACAUGACCAUAAAGACCCAUUUAUUAUAUGUAGGAUGCACGAUUUGCAGCAUAAAAAACCAUCAAGUUAUCAUGAACAAGCCUAUCACCUAUUAAGAAACCAUAAGAAACCAGAGGUCACGAAAUCCUAAGCUGAAGAUGUGGUUGAUGUCCAACAACCUCAUAGAACCAACUUCUUUACAUGAUAUCCAUGCUUUAUUGGCUGCUAUCAGUCUCUUAUCACUACUGAUUUCUGUGUGUCAGAAUGCAUUCAUUCAUUGAAAUCAUAAGUGCUCUAAUUUUAUCAGAUAUUCACCCUCAAUAGAGUUAGUUUCUUAAUAUUGAGUUAGAUAUUCACUAAAAUCACCAGCAAUAGAUAUUCACCCUCAAUGAAAUCAGCAUGAUGACUUUAUUUCUUUAUUUCUACAAGUCCUAAUUUUGGUGGUCUAAUAUGUUCUCUCUAGACUCAUCCAGAAAAACCCCACUCCUAAAGCUUAGUUCUUCAUUUAGUUCACUCUAAGAAACAAAACCCAGUCAGAAUAAAUACUUUCAAAAUAAAGGACAAAUUUCAGAUUUUUUGCAUCUGUCAUGGUCAUGAUAAUAAUAAUUGAACUAUUGAUCAUAUCUUAAGUCAUUAUCAUUAUGCAAGAAUACAGAAAGAAAGUGUGUGUGCAGGGUCUUCAAAACUUUUUCACAUCUAAAUUGGCAGGAGAAAGAGGUGGACUAGAAAUUGUUGGGACAGUACCUUUAUGGACAUUUAGAGAAAAGAAUGAAAUACGAGAACAUUCAAUGGAGUACCAAGGAUUCUUGUACUUUGAUUGGAGAGGUCACCAACAAUUUCUCCCCUCAAAGAAGUCAAUCUUCUACUAGUGACUAAACUUCUGAAAAGCUCUUUACACAAGCUAUUUUGUCAUCCUGAUGAAGCUAGGGGCGAUAUCAAAUGAUGUAUAAGACUUUGCAUAUAUAUUAUUUUAUUUAUUUUUUCCUUUCUUUUUUUCUUCUAUGUUUGCUCACUAACUAAAUGAGAUAAGUCAGCAACAUUUUUUACUUUACCCAAGAAAAUCCCUAUAAGCAACUUUUGACAUGACCAUAGAUAAAUAAUCACAAAUCCAAAGUAAAAAUAGUUUGUAGGGCUCUUACUAAGCCAUAUAGCUACAAAAUCCAAUAUCUGCAUAAAGUUCAUAUUGAGUUCCAAAUGAUUGAUAGAGAUGAAGUAAUGGUAGUUCUUGUACUCAGCCAACUGUUAUUUUAAAGUUUUUACAAAUUUCAAAUUACAACCAAUCAAUACAAAAUUGCAAAAAAAAGAAAGCAUUAAAAUCAUAACUUAUAGAUGUAUGAAGAAAAUAAGAAUAAGAAAAAAAGGCUCUUGACAAAAAGAUUUGGCCAAAGAUACUUCUAGCAGCAGGUCACAGCAGGAAUCAAGACACAUCAUAAGGAAAAAUCUUCAGAAAUAGAUAAUAAUAAGUAAAAAAUUGAAAAGUGGAUUACAAAAGAUCAUGUUAAAAAUUAUAUCAAUGUAGUUUUCCAGUGACAAUCAGGAAAUAGAUGUCUCCAUGUAUAUUCAUAUGUACCUAAAUCAACAUAUGCUGAAUGAUGCUGAUCUUGACAAAUUUCAUAAUAAAUACCAAGGUCCAUGUCCCUAAUUCUCACUUGCAUAUUCUCCAUACUGUGGUUUCAAAAGGGAUAUUAUGGUGCUUGUUCAAGUUUCAUUUCACAAAAUGAUGAUGAUGAUGUUAGGUUGAGCAGAUAUCCUAACAAAGGAAAAAAGUGAAACUGUGUAUGAUUCAAGUAUCACGAUGACAUUGAAUAGGUUCACAAUACUAUACUCUAAUAAAUCAUCUUGAAGUGAUUGCAGUCAAACAAAAUUUUGGUUAAAUAUCAGUGACUGUUCUUGGAGAAGUAUGCAUCUCUAGCGUAAUCUCUCCACAAUGAUGUGAAGGUCAGUGCAGGGCAGGCAACAACUUUCAAUAAACCAUGUGUAAAAUUCAAUUAGUGUGCCCCGCUCUGCAUUGAGAACUAGAACACAUUCAUAUAUAUCUAAAUAUAUCUCACAAAACAACAUAUACAAGUUUAUGCUAGUCCUUGUUACAUUAAAUAGAAAAGCUGAACAAUAGAUUUUCCAAGUUCUAACAUAAACUCACUUGUCCAUGGCCUCGUAUUUUCAAAAACCCACGUAGCAGUUCUCGCUUGUAAUGGCAAUCCCCACUCAGAUGAUUAGCCCGAAUCUAGAAGAACAAGUCAGAGUAUUCAUUCACUUUCAAGAAAAAACAAUCUUGUGAAUGCUACUGAAAACUUUGAUGCAUAAGCUCUGGAUCAAAGACUAUAAGAAACAGUUCUCUGACAUUCCAAUGCCCAGCAACAGACUGAAAGGUCAACACUACAUAAAUGUCUACCAGCAAGUAUUAAAGCCUCCUAGUAAUACUGUACCUCAGAGCAAGCAUGAUGGGCACAAUUUGUCCACUCCAUGUUUUUUGCUCGGCAAUCGUCAUAAGCGUGGAUUAACUCAUGAAUAAUAACUUGAUUUAUCUCAUCUUGAAAAGUCAUAUGAUUACAACAAAUUGUUAUCUGAAAUACAAAAAUUAGUAAAGUUGAAUUAGACUCAGAUGGUCUAUCUUAUACAUCAACAAAUACAAAGGCUAAUUAAAUCAAACAACUCGCUAAGACUUCUUAUAUUAUCUGAACACAAAGUUGCAGAACAAAUUUAUCAGCAAUAAUUGCAACUGUAUUCUCUUUUGUGCUAUUCAUUUGAGAGAUUACAGGGUGCAGUGGAACAAUGUAAACUGCAAUGUGCAUGAGUAUCCAAUUCUAAAAAGUCACCAAAUUCAACCAAGACAAUUCUUGACCCACAGAUAGAACAAGCCACAAUGUACCUUUGUCUAUGGUAUAUUUCUGAAAUUUGCAGAAGACAUGAAGAAAAAGCUCUACAAAUCAAAUCCCAAAAAUCAAUUGGCAAUUCUGAACUCUCCACAGGGAAACAUACUAGAUUUGGCAAAUGAUGUAAGACCCACAAAGAGGCAAACCAGGACCAAAGAAAUACAAGAAACUCUCCAAGUAUAAAAAUGGAGCAGGCAGAUAAAAGUUUGCUAGGUUAGGCAAACCAUUUAGAUGAAAGUCAUUACACAGAUCUAAGAAGUCCUACCCUGCUCCUUCCAACAUUGAAGCAAGAGUUAUGCAUAACAAUUUAAUAUAAUUAUUACACAUUUUGGUUUUUAGUUUGUAAAUAAAAAGUAAAUGAGUUUUCUUUAUAGAAUUUUGUGAUGCAGUUGUCAUCUCAAAUUCUGGAUGUUCAACUGUAGGUAGCUCUGGGACCAGAUAAAUUCUAACUAUUAUAAACAACCUAAGAACAUUUUGUUCCAUGUUCCACAUGCUUGCAGUUAAUCUGGCCUUCACUACGAUUUUGCAUUAAGCUGGAUGGUUGGUAACGCAUUGGCAGCAGUCUUGGAAGUUGACCAUUAACAAUUUAAUUGAUGGUUUUGGCGAGAGGCUACUACUAUAUUUUUAUCCAUACUUCCAUAUAAUAAAAAAACCUGUAACAAAUGUCACGUAAGCUAUAAUAUUACACUAGCAAGUGCCAAAAGAUCACUUAGAUAAAAGUUCUAAAUUUUUUUCAAGGAGAUUAAAAAUUUUGUAUUGGCAUCUUUUCUCCCCAAAUACUUUCCCUCAUAGAUAUUAUGACAUGCUUCCUUCAGUUUAGUGAUUGUUCUUCCCCUGUUGGUCUUCCGAUCAUUGGUCUUUUAUGUCGUGUUCUAGAAAUUCUAUACACCUGAUGGCCUAAUCAUGUUCUACAGGUUUGUUAAUUCCUGGAUGAUAUUUCACAUCUACCUGAAAUACAGUUCCAUUCAAAUUACUACUUGAUCGCUCUAGGAGUCAGCCCAUGUGGAAUUGUGCAUAUCCUUCAUUUGCUACUAAGACAUAAAACCUCAAAGGUGCAUGAGAAGAGAAUAUGUUACUCUAAUUAAAUUUGGAGCAUUAUUCCCUUCUCAAACUUCAAUGCUUUAGGAUUCUAAUCAUGUAAAGAACAACAGGUGGUGGUUCCCAACUUAUUCAGCACAAUGUACCCCUUGGGCUGAUAUCACUAUCAACUACUAAUAGUUGCUGAUCACUGAAAGCCUUUGUGCUGACUUUCCCUUGUGAAACGCUAAUAGAAGAAAGGUCAAUGGUGAUACAACUAAAAAUUAAAAAAGCUGCACCUCAAGUUGUUAGUCCCUCAUGAUUUGGUUGGUUCUUAAGUAUUAUGUUCUUUCAUUCCAAGAUUUAUGUUCUAAAAAAAAAGUAACAAGACUCGAACUACACACACUAAUAACUUAAACCAAAAAGAGGACUGAGCAGAUCUUGUGUGAAAAAGGAGAGAUAAAAUUCGAAGCUUUCAUCUACUACUACAAUGGACCAUCGACAAAAUGUUCUCCUUGGGCACAUUUAAACUGUGAUGAAAAUUUUCUAACCAUGACUGGGAAUGAUUAAAGAGCCAAUCGACCAAAAAGACUAAAUCUUGAUGUUGAACCUGACUAUAUUAUUCAAGACUAGCAUCUAAAGCUUAAAAACACGAAUUGAGCAUGCGAUGUACUGAAGUCCAAUUCAUAUUUAAAAGCAAAGCAAUAGCACGUAAUCAAAUGUCAAUAAUUCCACUUGUUGAGAAGCGACACUGUCCAACAACAAAGCAGAAUCACUUUCUAUCAAGAAGCAAUACCACAUGUUGUCCAAGAGUACGAGAAAGAAGACAACAGAGAAGGGUCAAGUUCUAUAUCAAAUUAAAGAUACCCCACGGCCACUGGCGUAGCCACCGGCGGAACUCUGGCCUUUGCAGGUGAUCGCCGUGAGCAGGCGCGGCCACACGGGGCAACCGGCGUUCUCCAUCUUCUCCCUUAGGAACUUCACCGUGGGAUCUGAUACAACAUCCACAGACAUUACCAAAAGGUUGAAGUGUAAUCACGGAUUGGAAUUCUCCGUAGCGGAGUGUAAGAAACGAACGUGCGAGGCUCUUGUUGAUGCCAUCGACGCACUCCUUGUGGGACAUGCCGCCACCACCGCCGGCUGCAGCAGCCGCGCCCUCCGCGGCCCCGUCCAUCGGCAACGCCUCACCCCCGAUAUCUUCGCUCCUUCUUGGCGGCGACGAAGAAAUCGUUCGACCAGAGCUCUCGGCCUUUCUCAAGCUGCUUCCAUCUUGGCCGUCCGUUUCAUCGUCGCGAGUCCCAUCGUAAAGCGGGUGCGGGUCGGCCACUUCCGCCCGAUGACGUUUACGACUCGUUUACCCGUUUAGCCGCAUGAAAAAGAUCAAAAAAGGGAAAUCUAAAAUAAAAAGAAGAAAAUUGAAAGCCAAAUCAUGGCUUCUCGUGUCCGAAAUUACUAUUGAGCACAAACGUCACGAAGCAUAACGAAUCAUAACGACGGUCGAGAUAAAAGAAUCGAGCCGCACGGAAGGUCCAGAUUAAUUAAUCUUCUAACUUCUUUAUGUUGAGGCACCAUUUGGGACGCGAGAACCCGCAACGAUCUCCUCAAUGGUGUCGGAGUCGGUCAUUCCGCCGUUGACGACGCGAGUCUUUAACCCAACCCUAAUAACUUCCACUUACCCGUUUGUCGAAGUAUAAAGCCGUCACGUCGCAGUCCACCACCUGCACGAGGGAAGGGGCCCAACAUCUCCGCCGGGAAGGCCGUCGCCGGGAUCCUCCGCACAUCGCUUGGCCCCAUGGGCAUGGACAAGAUGCUCCAGAUCCCCGACGGCGACGUCGUCAUCAGUCAGUAUGCGCCCCCAUCUUUCUAUCCAUUGCCUCUGCUUAAAUAUUGUUUUUGCCUGCUGAUCUUGGCGACGAUUAGUGAAAAAAAACCCUAUUUUUCUUCACCUUGUCUUUAUUUUUUGGUUUGAGGAUUGGUUUGAUGACAAUGGAUGUGAAAAAUUAAAUACUGGUACAAUUGGUACAACAGAAUACUAGUACACAUUGGGAUUGCUAUAGCAUGGUUAGUAUAGUGUUUGAAACCAUGCAAAAUAUUUUAGGUAUUAAAUGCUUCAGGCCUAACUUGAUAAUCUUUUAGGUAUCAGUUAUGAAAGUUUAUUUUGUAACUUUCAUUUUCAUAGCAUCUGCAUUGCAAACACUAGAUAGCCAUGCAGCCAUAAGUUUAGAUGUUUUGAGUGUUAAUGCUCUAAAUUUAAGCAUAACAAUGUUAUUUUUAUGAACUGUGAUGAUUUAUAUCUUGGUCAUAUCUAGCAAUAUUAAGAAGUAAGAACAUCCUCCUACCCAAAGUAGGUGUUUAGAUGAUUCAGCAUGCUGCGACAAUGAUAGGUAGUGUUGGAUUACCACCCAUUAUAGGGGAAAUUUACUGUCAACUUCUCAGCCAUCAACCUUGUCAAUGCACAUCUGGCAUAUUUCCCAUUAGCAAUAUUAUUUUAGGCACACAUGAUGAUUAACUGUUCAUGUCUAAUCUCUUACAUUUCUCAUGGCUUACUCCUUGUUGAAACGGACUUUCUCUGUGAGCAUUUGCAGAUGGUAUAGUCAGUUGGCCUUUACAAUUGGCAGAUAAUUGUAUCCUUUAAGUUUACUCAGAAUAUUUCAUGUUUAAUGUAAGAUUGAACAAUGAAUAUUUGUUGUCUGAACUUUCUUUCCCAUGGUUGGUGCAGGAAAAUAAUCCAUGUUGCUGCAUAGAUUGCAAUGAUGUUGGGACAAAUAACAUGAAAGAGCAGAAUGUGUUUGAAACACUGAUUGGCAAACAACGACAGAUCUUGCUUGCAACACAAGUUGUGAAAAUGAUUUUGAAGAUUGAUGAUGUGAUCACUCCGUCUGACUAUCGAUUUUGGUGGCUGAGGUUGUGAGCUAGGACAUAAACUAUCAGAAUUCGCCAUUGCUAAGUGGAAGAAGAAUCAGCCAGGCAUGCGAGACAUCUCCUUGUAUCUCCUUUGUGCCUUUUUAUUGAUUUGCGAGUGUAUGAUUAUUGAUCUUGCAAUAAUUUUGUCACCGGUUUCUCUGCAGGCAUCAUUUGCAUUUUAUGGAUGCAUGUGUUUUUGGGCAAAUUGGUCAUCUGAAGUUCGGAUCACACAGAAGUUGACUAAUCGUUGCAAUUGAAAACCACUGGCAGACGGCACUCAACUUGGGUAACUAGAUUUUCUUUGCAAUGCCCGACAUUAUUGUCUUCCUUGAUUGGAAAAUUUUGAUAAGUAGAACUGUUAAUAUAUUAGACAGAGUGCAUAACUUGAGUUUAGGUAUUUUGAACUAGUAGAUCACUUAUGUCGUUAAGUUAUUAUUUCUUUAUUGUUUAGCUCUUCCUUGUCAAAAUUCAUGUGUAUUAAAUCAUGAUAGUGGCGGUAAUGUGGAUUAUGGUGAUUAUUUAUUUUAUAAGACUAGUUGGUAAUAUUGUUUUCGGCCAUGAAUGGGGUCUUUUGGACUAUGAAACCCGAGCAAAAGAACAAAGGAAAAGAUGCCUCUAUAUUGUCAUCUAGAUUAAAGAUGUUCCAUGCUUAAUUUUUUCGCGAUAAAAUUGUCGAGUCUUUGGUGUAGUGGUAAGAUUCCUUGGGAACAAAGUAUGAACAAUCCUUAGGAGUAGAAAAUUAAAGACUCAAAAGAAGAAUAUAUAGCAGCUUUUCUUUGGAAGAUGAUUAAGAAAAGAAAAAUCCCAUAAUGGAGUAUAAUGGCAUAUGGUUGAGGAUUCGUAUCAAACAGGAUCACACGAUACUUUGGGUUUUGAAUAUUGAAGACUUGGAAGAGCCUACACUCCACUGUUCUCUCCCCCGAGGAAAGUCCCUAAAACAAGUUGCCUGCACAGCCAGCAUCUUCUAAUCUUCUUUACCUCUCACAAGUCUGGAGGAUGCGUAAUGACAUGGAACAGCCAAUCGUAGCCUUCCCACCAAAAGCGUGGCUGGCACGGCAGUAUAUAAGAAAGACGGCACCACCGCUGCCUCCCAUUCUUCAUCAUGCAGGCACUGUCGGUAGGCAAUCACUUUGUCCACGUCUGAAAGCAACAUGUAACUAAGAUUGUGGAAGAAACAUGCACUGCUUGGAUAAUUCAUCUAUUAAUUUUGUUGGAUCUUAAGUGUUUUAAGUCUGAAUUAAUAAUUAGUAGAAUAAUCGAGUUCUUAUACACUAACUUAAGUUUUCUUUGACUUCUUAUAUGAGGAUUAAAUUUAGACUAUCGGUAGAUAGAACUAGGGAACACGUUAUAAUAUUGAAGCAUCGCACAUAUAUACACCAUGUUAGUACUCAAAUUUAUAAUACACUUGAUUAAUCCUACGUUGAAAAUAGAAGAGAAUUGAAUAAACUUAGAUGACCAUCAUUAAUUUUGACCUUGACAUUUUAUUCCCUCCAGAUGGAUCUUUGUUAUAAUAUGGAAGCGUCGCACACAUAUACCAUGUUAGUACUCAAAAUUCAUAAUACACUUCGAUUAAUCUUACAUCGAAAAUAGAAGAAGAAUUGAAUAGACUUAGGUGACUAUCAUUAAUUUCGACCUAGACAUUUUAUCCCCUCAAGAUGGAUCGUCGCUAUAAUAUGGAAGCAUUGCCCACAUAUACCANNNNNNNNNNNNNNNNNNNNAAAUUUAUAAUAUAUUUGAUUAAUCCUACAUCGAAAAUAGAAGAAGAAUUGAAUAGAAUUAGAUGACUAUCAUUAUUUUCGACCUAGACAUUUUAUCCCCUUAAGAUGGAUCAUCGCUAUAAUAUGGAAGCAUUGCCCACAUAUACCAUGUUAGUACUCAAAUUUAUAAUACACUUGAUUAAUUCUACAUCAAAAAUAGAAGAAGAAUUGAAUAGAAUUAGAUGACUCAUUAAUUUCGACCUAGACAUUUUAUCCCCUCGAUAUGGAUCGUCGCGAGGUUAGUUGGUAGUUGGUGUCAUAUGGCCAGCGGGAUGGUGAUAGAAUUGGUUGGGUGUGAGAUGCCAUUGAUGCCAAAAGCUCUAUUUAUGGACCUGUUGCAAACAAUAAUAUAAGAAGACUGCAUAGGACCACAGGGAAUUGGAGUCGCUUUCUCCAGUAAGUGGCUGCUUUAAAGAACUGUAAGCGUGUCAAAACGAGGCUCAACAUAUCGCAAGCAAUCAUUGAUUUAUUGCUUGUAAUGCGUAAUAAGUGAGAGUACCUUAUGCAAGUCAACCAUAUGUAGCUUGACCAGAAAGAUCUGAGGAUGGAUUGCCACCAAACUAUGGCAACUUUGGCAAGAGAAGGACUAUUUGAAUCUAUGAACCAUUGAAUUAGAAAAAAGAAGGCAAACAAUUUGGUACACUGCAAAUUAAAUUACCUAAGUACAUUUGUCAGCUUUAUACAUUUGAAGGAUCCAAAGUGCUUCACCUGUUGAGACUUCCUUGAACUGCAAGGAUGCAUCAUCUAACGAGGUUCACUGUUAUAUACACUUCAACAUGAACUAUGAACAGAUCAAGCUAUAGUCAUAUGAACAAGAGGAGAUUUUGAUUAGUGCUGGAAGCAAUUGAAUGGAACUGCAAAGAAUCAGCAGGGCGUCAGGACACGAAGCGACUGAACUAACUAAGAUUGAUGUUGACUUGCUCUGGCAUCGCUCUUUCGGUCUGCUGUGCAGGAAGUUCAGUGCCGAGCUGCCCCUUAUCACCCGCUCCGAAUGCAUACAGUUUCCCGGAAUCUGUUAGAGCAAAGGUAUGCGCGUUCCAGUAGACCGAGUUGGUGAGACUAAUCUGCACUACCCUCUCAUUGAUGUUCUUAAGUGAAGUCACUAAUUUUGGGCUGAGUACAUUGGCAUGCCUGUUACCCUGCAAACAAGACAAAGCUUGGAAUUAGCUGACAUUAUCGAAAUUGCUCGGGCAACGCUAAGACUGGAGGGGAUGCAAUCUAUUGCCAAGUUUGCAAACAGUUUAACAUCUGAAGACCCUAACAAGGUUCACUUAGAACAAGAAAAGGAUUAAAAAAAGAGGCAAAGAAGUAGCGCUGCCCUCAAAAACCUCAGGGACUAGUGGAAUGCAAUGGUGUUAGAUUUUAGUUUCAUAUACCGCGCAAUAAGAGAUCAACUAGGAAAACAUGACAAACCUGUCCAUCAAUGACGGAGGAAUGACCCAAACUUGAGGAUUCUCCAUAACCAAAUGAGUAAACAUCCCCAGUAUCAGAAACAACGAAUGUAGUGUAGUCGCCCGUUGCGACAUGUACAGCCUUUAUGUUGUCCAAGGAUUCCACGACCUUGGGAACAGAUUCAGACUCCUCAUUCCCAUGGCCCAAGCACCCAUAGCGCCCCCAUCCCCAUGUACAUGUCCGCCCAUCUUGUCCCACGACGGCAGCAUGCCAGGCACCAGCUGCAACCACCCUAGGCUGCAGGUUUAAAGUCUGGAAGUGCUCGAUCAACCUUGGAUACUUCUCAUCAGUCAUGGAACCAUGCCCAAGUUUCCCUCCUAAGCCACAGCCCACAGAGUAGACCGACCUGCAUUACAAUGAAAUUAUAAACAUUAGGAUAUAAUUAAACAUUCGAAUUCACUGUAAGUAUGCUGUUGAAUCCCCUAGCAAAACCAGUGGAGUAUAACAGCAAUGAAAAAGCUAAUGCAAUCCCUACAAAUAACAAGUAAUGCAAUUGUGGAAACUAUGUGUUCUUGAAGAACAUUUCAAAAGAUGUCAUCAUAGCAGAAUUCUCUUGAUGUUGUCUGAGCACCACAUAAAGUUUGCAUAUACAUAUGUGUGUGUGUGUGUAUGUGUUGCAAACUACUCAGGCAAUCUCAUAUCCAGCAAGAAAGAAAUAAGGACUAUAGCUGAUCUUUUAAAGUAUCAAGAGAUUAAGAGUGGAAGAAAGCUUACAUGCCGCUUGGUUGACAUGCCAGUGCUAGAAGGUAACAGUAGCCAGCGGCAAUCUGAACCACUGGUAUGUUCUCAAGAGGACCCAAUAGCGGAUGUGGUUCCAAGUCACUUGGUUCUGUGCGAUGACCGAGCUUUGAUUCAUUUCCCCAACAGAAAGUGUAGACUCUGCCUUCUCGAGAAAGAACUGCACUGAAGAAAUUUCCUAUUGCUGCCUGAACCACAUAUAUGUCUUUCAAUGAUUUCACCAGUCGCGGUGUAGUGACAACCUUGGACCCUUCAAUUGUGUGUUCUGCCUCACCAAAUGAUUCCUUCCCGAAAGCAUAAACCUGUCCAGCAUCACUGAUCAGCAUUGUUCGCCCUGCUCCGGCGGCUGCUUGUAUAAUCCGAAUGCCUUGCAGCGAUCUGUCAAGCACCAAACCUUUCUUGUUCAUGGUACGUGUUAAUGUGCACCUGAGUGUAUGAAGCAACUGAAAAUUUUAAAGCACCUUAUAAGUCGUGGCCUCCAUUCCUCCUCCAAGGUGCCAUGGCCGAGCUGUCCUGAGCUGUUGGAUCCAAAGGAAUAUACAGAUCCAGAUGAAGUCACGGCAAUGCUGUGACUAGGACCCGCAAUUGCCUGAGACUUUUCUCUCCGGCAACAUAUCUCACCUGCCAAUAUAUACCUAAGAACUAAUUUCCAAGAUCCCCCACAGCGUUGUUUAAGAAGUUCUUUUUCUUCUGAAUUCAUUGGCUUGAAGAUGGCCCUUUCCUGGCACAUGUCUAAUGCUGCGAGCUCUGUGAUAGAUAACUGGACCUCAGGAGCAAAAUUUGAAGGCUUUCUGAAAAAUGUACAUGUUGCCUGCCAUGAAUAUCGAAAUCUAUCAGCAACAUUACAGAUCCUUUCAACAAGAGAAACAUAACAAUGAUACUUGCCUCCAGAUUAGCAAGAUCCCGGGGUUCCAAAUCGCAAUUGGUUAGAAUAAUGAGAACGAUAGAGGGGGUUUCAGCCAAGGGGAAUUCCCCUGGGUUCGAGUCACCAAAGCAAUGCCUCUGCACACGUUUGAAGGUUCGCUGCAAUGGGGGCACCAAAGAAAGGGAUGGAUCUACAAUGGUCUGAAACGGUAGGGAAGAACUGCUACCACUAGUGGUGGGAUCCAUCGGGCAAGUGCCCAAGGAUCAAGCAGUAGAGUGAAUCCAAUCCAAGGCUAUAUCCUCGUUCAACUAACUCCAAAGCAGCAGUCUAUAAGAUUGACAAAACCCCGAUUGUCAGCAAAGCAACACUCAGAACUAAUGGCUGCAGUAUUUCUGAGAGAUCAUAUCAACUCCACAGUUCUCGAUCUUCAAACCUCUAUGCUUUGAACAUACAAAGGGUCCGGGAGCAUACUGUAAGUCAUGAAAUAAAACUGCAAAAGCUUCUGUAAAGUUCACAUAAAAUUUCAGAUAACAUACCCAUAAAUCCAUAAUAAGAAAAAGAAGGCACCAAACAAGUAAAACACAAUUGCAAAUUGCAAAUGGAGGCACAGACCAAGAAUGAACAUGGCCAUACUCGCUAAAACCAUUAGCGAGAGAAGUAAUGAGAAAUUCCAGACUAACAACUGGACUAAAGAAGCUGAAAUAACAAGCUUAAAGUAAAAGAGAGUAAAAAGCCAAGUAGAACAAGGAAAGGAAAUGAUGUGUAAGCAGUACCACCUCCCAAAGAAAGCAUAUUCCCAACGAUCAAAGAUCGUCUACAAAGAAAAGCAUUUCACCUCCAAAAGGAUACUUUUCUUAAAAACAUCCAUAGCUGUCCAUCGACUCAACAAUUAGUCAAGCACUAGGAACAAGAAUCUAAAACCAAAUCAACUCGAGAAAAAGAAAGCAGAAAAUACAAAGAAGUCGGGAAUAGAAUUCCCAAAGCACAUAAUUAUUAACACCACUUCAACUCCAAAAGAUCAUAUCUCGAAAGCAAGAUCCGUUCUCUUAGACAACUUACCCAUACGAACAACACAAUCGAACACCGAUGAACACAGAACACCACAUCCUUCGUUCAACCAAAAAAAGCAAUUGCAUCUUGGAGUCGGUUCGUCAUCAAAACCACGGAUCGAAAACAUCCUUCACAAAGAAAAGAGACCAAAUUCCACGGGAAGAGACAGAUGGAGAGGCCCAGGCAGAGAAACAGAGGCAGGAGAAAAGAUCGGAUUUUUACGGUCUAGAUCAAAUCAGAUGGAGCAAGGCAACGACGGGGAACGCGCAGCACACAUCAAAGGCAGCAGAACAUCCACUGAUUCCCCCUGAAGUCUAGGAUGCGGCCGACUGACCCACAGUAGGGCGAUUGCUUCGUGUGCUCCUCCCUGUUCCUCUCCCCGAUCGAAGAUCAGAGUCCGAUUCGGAAAAUGGAAGCGAUCGGAGCACUUGUGUUCUUUGAAUCGGGAUCAAAUAUAGAUUAAGACCGCAGGGAAUCGAGGGGAAGAAUGGGAUGAGAUGAGGAAGAAGUGGGAAGAAAGGGGGGAACGAGAGGACCGAGAUGGGAAUGAGGUGGAGGACAAUUGCUGAGUUUUAUACGCAUGCCGCGACAGCCACGUCAGCGUUCGUAAUGAAGCUAAUGGAUCCAACGUCGGUUGACGGUUUCGGAUGAGGGUUUGGUUAUUAGUGAUCGGAAUCGGGUCGAACUGAGAUGAUCGGAAAAAUAAAAAUAAAAAUUAGAUUUUUGAUCGAAUCGAUUUAAUUAUUGAAUGAGUUAUGUUAAGAAUAAAAUGAAUCGGUCGACUCGACCGAUUUUUUUUUAUAGCCACGUAAGAAUCGAUUGAGAUAAAUAAAACUAAUUUGAUUUUGUAAAUAUAUUAGUAUUACUUAGAUUCCAUUAAUUUAAUUGUUUUAAUUUAUUUAAAAAUAUUUAUAUCAAUUUUGAAAUUAGGAUUAAUAUAAGAAAGUAAUAUCUCCCAUGCAAUCAAUUCUCUCUCUCAUUCUCCCUCCAUUCCUCAUUCUCCCUCCAUUCCUCAUCUCAUAUAGCAUAUAUUUUUUUAAUAAACUAAUAUCAAUUAUUUAUUCAAAAGGAUAUUUAUGUUAAUUUUAAAAUUAUGUUUAACUUAAGAUAGAAAAUGACCUCUUUGGUGCAUUUCUUCCUCCUAUCGUCUUUCUCUUUCUAAUAUUAUGAUUUUAUCAUUUGUAAGAUAGAGAGUGAAUUUGAUGUUUAUAAGACCUUAUGCUCACGAGAAAUUAUCUAUUUUGAGUGGAUCCAAAUAUUUUUUUUUUUGGUCAAGGGUGACUUUGGUACUUAUAGAAAUUAUAUCUUGAGUGUACUUACGAUAAAUUAUCUAUUUUAGAUGAACCUUACAUGAUUUACCAAAAGGGUCUCUUAGGAUAGAAUAUGACUAUAAACCUUACAUGAUUUGCCAAAAAGAUCUCUUAGGAUAGAAUAUGACUCUGAUGCUCAUAAGACCUUGCUCCUGAAAAAUCAUCUAUUUUGGAUAAGUCCUAAAAAGAACUUAUAAGAGUUAAGGUGAACUUAUAAGGGGUAAGGGUGACUUUAUUGUCUCAUGAAAACUAUUUACAUCGGGUGAGCCUCUCAUGGUUUUGCUGCUCCUCCUUUCGGGUGAGAUUUUGUGUUGUCUUCCCCAACACGAACACAUGAGGAAUUGUCUUCUUUCGAUAGAUCUUAUAUUGUUUUAUUUUGUUUAUAAUGUAUCCCAAAAAAGUGUAUUUUAAGGUUAGAUCAUGACUUUGACAUCUGUAAGAUCUAGAUUCAGUCGUAAACUGGGGUGAGGGAUGAAAAAGGUUUUGAACUCAUGCCAACAGAGAGUACUCGGGCCUUUGCUCAGUGAGGAACUCCUUGCCAUACGGACAAUGCAAGGUCUAAUAACGGGAUGAACUACUUCAUGUCAAGAUCGAACUCCUUGCUUUGACUACAGAGGCCAGUGACAAGUAGAGAACUUCUAAUAGUCGAACAUCAUCACACAGUAACAAAAUUUCUUAUCUUAUCACAGGUAAUGAGAUGCCAUUCAACAACGAUAAGUUCAAAGAGUUCUACGCUAACUAUCAGACUGAAGUAACAAAUCCUCAAGCUGUCCAAUUCUUCAAAUCCGAUCUUCGAAUCAGAAUAAGAAAAAGCACAUCAUCCUCUUGUGGUUCUUGUUUGCCCAAAGAGACCACCACUGAAAGAACUGCAGAACAACUGGUCGAGGAUCUUUGAUUACCAAAACAAGCAGCCUCAUGAGUAAAUACCAGCAGUUGCAGUAGCAAAAUCAUUCAAGAAAAUCCAAGGAGCUCUACAAGUAUCUAACAAUAAGAACUCUGGAAGUCAGAGGGCAGCCUAAAUCAUAUCAAACACGAGACUAGCUAGAGAUGCAAUGUCUGAAGCUGAUCUAAUGGCAAGAAUGCUACUGCAGGAUUAGCCAACGAACCUCAAGGCAAGAAUCAACUUGACCCAUUAAGUGGUGGUUUGUAUGAAAGUCUCACGGUAGAAUAAAUUACAGAUGGUUCAGCCAUUGCACCGUUUCCAUAAUCUCCGCAUGCCAACCUCUUGGUGACGGGAGGGAUGAGAUUAACACCAAGCUCGUUGAUUGCAUCUAGAUGGCGCUUUGUAAAGGGAUUAUUCCACAUGAAGGUGUUCAUAGCAGGAGCAACAAAUAUAGGCUUGCUGUAGUCCCAGGCUCGCACAAUACACGUCAGUAGGUUGUCACACAAUCCUCCUGCAAUCUAUACAACGAAGAGCAAAAACUUUAAGAAAAAGGUGAAAAAAAUAUAUAUUUGGCACACAAACUAUGUAGUCAAGUAAUCUUUGUACCUUCGCAAGAGUAUUUGCUGACAGUGGGGCAAUAACCAUGAUAUCAGCCCAUUUCCGAAGCUCAAUGUGCAAUACUCCAUCCCCAAUCUUCUUCCAACUAGACCAUUCAUCAUCGUCUGUAUAAAGGAUCACAUCCCUGGGGAAUGAUGCUUUAUCGAGAAAAUGCAAGGAUGAUUUGGUAGCAACUGCCCUAACUUCUGCCCACUCCAGAAAACUACGGCAUAAAAUCUCAAAUUUAAUAGCAGCAACACUUCCAGACACAGCCAAGAGGAUCCUUGGUUUAACAGGCUGAAUAUUGUCAUGCUUCAUAUUUUCUGAUGCUAUUUCGAUAUUAGCCAUCAUGCAUUCAACGCACUAGGAAAAAUUUCCUUCCACUGCAUAAAAAAUGAUGGUCAUCUUUUACAGAUUUCCACCAGGCAUUAUCAAAGGGCAAGGAAAUCCUAAGCAAGCAUCAUCUUUAAAAGAAAUCCAUAUAUAAAGUGAACCUUUUGUACUAGUACAGCUUCCCAAGAACAUGGUCAAAACAACUCCAACCAUGAGAAGACCAUCGCAUCCAAGCAGAAUGAUUCAAUAAACUGGAAGCUGGAAACAUUAACAUAACGUUAGUCCUUUGUACAGAAAAGCGAUUAUCAAAGAAGACAUAAAUUGCACGAAACUGACCGACCAACUAUAGCUAUGAGAAAUUAUUGAUGUUCGGGUAGGCUGAUACAAAUGCUUAUCUUUAAAAUGUGCUUUAGUUUGCUUGAAACAAUCGGUUUCAAUCUCUUAUCCAUGAGUGUGGAGAAACAGCUUAAGAUGAAGCUAUAAAUUAUAUAUUUACAUACUUAUAUGAAUGAGCAUGAAAGUCCAAUAACAACACCAACAACAAGGCUGUAAUGUCUCAACAUUUAGGGUUCUACCUAGAUCCUUUUGCCACCAUUGAGCUAUAUAAAAAAGCCAUAUCCUUAAUUAAAAUUUAAAUUUUUACUUAAUAGUUUUUAGUAAAAUGUUGUUAGGCCUGCCUCUAUCUCUCUUCUUACCAAUCAUUUCACCUCUUCUAACAACAAUAUCUAUGAGUCUUCUUAGGGCAUCUUAAACAAAUUUUCCAUGGAUUACACGUUUUUUAUGACGAAUAAGCACAAACAUAAUAAUUUAAUCUUUAAUAUUUUUAUCCUCACAAAACUAAAGAACACAAAAUUUUCAGCAACCCUAGUUUCAGAACUUCCAUCAAUCUAGUUUUGGAUCGUCCAUCCCUCUCCCCGGUGUGGUUUCUUCAUAGGCCAAUUCGCGAUCAGUGAUCCGUUACUCAGUAUUUUCCGGUUGCCGCCCAAUGUCUAAGCCCCCUUUACCGUCGCGGGCGAUUUCCAGCAACCGGAUUGGGAGAUGAAGAAGCAAUGGGAGGAGAGGUGAAGAGACAGAGAGGGGACAAGUACGAAUUAAAUAUUACGACAGCGCGCCGAAGAUCAAAAGCUAACCUCUCGCCGGUGUGCUCGCCGAAUACCACCGCUGCUUCGACGCUCACCGCAGACGAUAAGAAGGGAUCGUGAGAGAGAGAGCUUAUAUAAUGGACAGACAUGAGGGUAAUUUAGUCAUUUUACAUGUAGACGGAAAUUAAACGGCGACGAAACAGCACCAUCUCGUCCCCAAAUUCCUCCGCUAUUCACCCUCAGCCUUUGGCCACCGCCGCCGCCCCCCUCGAUCGCUUCAUCCCCGGCGGUAACCCACUCGCCACCGUGCCGCCCCCCACGUCUCCGCGGUCCAGUCCUGCUUCCAUUCUUCUACUUCGCCAAAUUGAGUGAUGGGUUUAAUCAUAUGUUAUGAUUGCAAUCCAUAGCCAGCUCAAGUCAGAUUCAAUUCAAAGAUCGAUUCGGCUCGGUUCGAGUCUGACUCACCGACGGGUCGAGUCGUGGAAUAGGAAAAGCCUUAUGGGUAAUUACGGACCGAUCAAGCCCACAUAAGCAACUAUAUUACCCGACCCAACCUGAUCGAUAACAGCAGCAGAACACCAUGGCGUCGUUUGGGUUGGGAAAGAUGAGCGACUUCCUUCUGCCGACGCUGUCGCGGAAGCGCGACGUGGACUGCAUCAUCCGCGACACCCUCGACAAGGUCCUCGUCCUCCGCUUCGGCCGCGCCGCCGACCCUCUGUGCCUCCACUUCGACGAAAUCGUACGCUGCGCCCCUCUCCUCCCAUAUCUUGUACUUCGUCUUCUCGGUGCUUGGCGAAGCCUCUGAUCUCGUGUGGCCUUCUGGCGCGCAGCUCUCCAAGACGUCUCGUGAGGUCUCUAAGUUCGCGACGAUCGCGCUGGUGGACGUCGACUCCGAGGAGAUUCAGGUCUACGUCAAGUACUUCGAUAUCACCUUGGUACCCUCCACCGUCUUCUUCUUCAAUGCUCAUCAUAUGAAGAUGGACUCCGGGUAAUUCAAUUACAUCCCUAGAUGAACAUCUUGUUUCUGUCAUCAACUCUCUUUAUGUCUUGCCCGGUUCUGCGUUUCGUAGGAAAUUUUAACCUUCCGCUUAGGUAAUUUCUUUUUGCCCUAAAUAUUUGAUUUGAUAUGUAGGUUUCUGCAAGUACGAAGGCUGUAAUUUAUUAGGGCAUGCACAAGAUGUCACCCUUUCUACGAUAUCUUAUUUAUUUUGCCCUAAAUUUUAGUGGUAAAUUUUCCUUGACAUGAAUACUUGUCACAAGGAUGUUUAGAAUUAUUAGGUGUAGUCGAUAUGUCUUAUAAAUUAGUGGCCUGUAGAUAAAAGUCCGCUAAUUUGACAUUUGACAUGUUAUUACGAUGAUUGUAGAGAAUAGCAAAUGCAAUAGUAGCAUCAUCUCCUCUGUUUCACAUCGUAGCCUGAUUGGAUAUCCUAAAAUUUCAUCCGAAGCUGAACCUUAUUAAUUAUCUAGGUAUCUGAACUGAAACCAUAUACGGGUUACCUACAUUUAUACCGAACUCAUCCCAAACCCUAUCGAAGGAAACCCUAUCUAAGGGUACCAGAACCUUGUUUUGCUCGGUUGGGUAUAUUUGGAUGCUCAAAAGAACCCAACCUACUAAGCUGAACCUAGAAGUAACAUUAGGUUAGGCUACUUGCUAAUCCAACCAGUCUGUCUACCUAUGUACCUGAACCCGACUGGAGCACAUUCAUCCUCACCUGAACCUGUUUCCUAGCUGAUUAAAGGGUAAACAAGUUCAUUAUAAGCGGAUCAAGUAGACCAAGGUGCAAAAAAAAUAAUAAUAAUAAAUAAAUACCUCUGCCAUCCCAAAUUAUGGCUCCCCUCUCUUCUCCUUUCCCGCUUUUUUACUCUCCCCUCUUCUUUUUUGUCUUUUGAGGCUGUCAGAUUGGCUGGAAUUGGUCAAAACUGGCCAACUCUGGUAGUGAUUUGUAGAUUCUAGUCAAAAUCCACUGACUUAUUACUAUAAACUGGGAAGUCAACAAAAAUUGGAGUGGCCUUUGACGAUAAUGAUAUGGAUUCUAUUCCUUUUUAUAGUGAUUUAGUUCUAUUCUUUAAUGACUAUUUUCACCUUAAAUGUAACUUGAUUAGUGAAUUUUUCGGCCAUGUGUCUCUUGGUAAACUGUAUUUUUUAUUGUAUUCAGGACUGCUGAUCAUACUAAGUGGGUUGGAUCUUUUCAUAGCAAACAAGACUUAAUCGAUGUUGUUGAGGUGAGUGCCAUGCUCCUCACUUGGAAGGUCCUUUUUCUGAAUUAAAUAUAUUAUAUUCAGUUUCAUCUACUGAAUUCAUUAAGCUUAAGAUGAUGCUACAUGAUAGGUUAGUCUUAAUAUCAGUAGAACAAAAGCUAGAAGAUUUUUUUUUUUCAUUUCAUAAUUUGAGAAUACAGUUACGUAGUUUGAUUUUGGACGUCCGAGAUACUUAUUCUUUCUUGGAUUGUAUGGGAAAAAAAAAAUGGAACUGAAUGACUUCUGUAGCAAAGUUUGUAGAACUUAGAUAAUUUUUUGUGUCUGUAAGAAAUGAAGAUGUCCUUUUUGAUGAAUAAGUAGGAAUUAUCCCUUGUCACUGAGACUUUAUCAUCAGAUCUUCCUAAUCUAGUUAGCUGGCUUCCAAAUGCAAUUAUCUUCAUCCAUGAUUACCAGUAUAGUUGGUCUGUUAUAUUGGUUUUUCUCUUCUGGUAAUAUUUUUCGCAAGAGAUUAAACCUGUCAUCAAGGCUCAUAUGAUCAAGAAUGGGAUUGGGAUUAGCUAACUGCAUUAUGAUUGAGAUUCAUUACAUCUGAUCAGUUGGAGCAGGAUAAAUUGAGAGAAUAAUUUAAACAUGAAAAGUGUAGAAAUUAUAAAAAUAACAAAGUCUGGAAAACAAAAUAUAAAAAAAUGAUAGUUUUUCGAAAGAGUAAAACAAUAUGUUUUAUGUAAAGCCACAGUUGUCAGUUUCUAAUUUCUUUGACUUGGCCAUAUCUUCUUAAUUUAAUAUGAAUAGCUGCACAUUGUAUUCCUGAACUUCUUAUGUAUGAAAAUGUGAAAAUAUCUGUCUAUGUACCAGCUUAUGCAAUCUGGGGGUGAUUCCAUGGGAUGGGCUGCAUAUCAUACAUAGAUGAUUGAACCUUAGAAGUUUACCUUAUGGAUAUGCAUAUGAUACCUUAGAAAUGAUGGGGGAUAAUAUAUCUGAACUGGAUGUCUUCAUUUUAGAAUAAGACUGCUAUCUGCUGAUGUCGCCACCCUCAUCUACCAACACAGUUGACUGUUACCUGAGUACGGAGGAUGACCUUUAGAAUUGCUCUAGGCAUAACCUUUUUUUACAUGAUAUAUAAUUCACCAUCUAACUCAUACAUUAACAUUCUGACUAUCUUUCAAAACACAACAACAGAAAGUUCUAAUAUUUUGAUCAACAUAAACCAACUACUAAGUGCUCAAGAAUUUAGUGGCGAUGUGUAUCUCAUCGUUCAACCAACAUUUCUGGACAGUGGAGGGACCAUCUGUUUUUGGGGUAUAUUCUGUAUAUUUAACUCCCAACUGAUUUGAUGAAAUCGUAUUUGAACUUGCUUUUGGUCUGGUUGAAAAUUUGCAGAACUUUGUAGAACUUUGUGUUUUUUUUUUCAAAGAAAGGCAAAUUAGAGAAACUUAGAAAACAAACUUAUAAAAUAUCCGGAGUUUCUCUAGUCCAAAAAAAUAGCAGAUACAUUCUGUCUAGCAUAAUUAGCAAGAUUGUGAGCCUUGUUAAGGUCUCUUGGGAUGUAACUCCAGUUGGAAACCUUCACUGUCUUAGCUAGAUGGAGGAUGUCUUUGCAUAGAAACCUUCACUGAUCUCACCCAGAUUUGAGUAAAUCCAAGUUGUAGUGCACAUUGAAGCCCCACUUAACUGCCAAUCAUUCUGCUUGGAAAGCAUCAGAAAGUCAUCUAUGGUUGCACCUCCUGCAACAAUAAUACCCUCAAGUCACUAAAAACAAAAUGUGUGUGUAGAACUUUGUUAUUUGAAUAGUUUCUGCCGAUUUCUAUAGCCAAAGUCUAGCUCUAGUUAAGAAUAUUAUUCAAUAUUCAGUAGCAUGCUGUAACAUCCGACUAAAAAGGACCCAAGCUUCCAUCUACCUUAAAUUUCUUCCCUUUUCAUGUUUCCUUUUUCUUUCUUUGUUCACUUUUACAAGUUCUCGAGGCUGUUUGCUUUACCUUUCGGCAUGCUGUUCUCAUCUGGUAAGUUUAUCCUCUUCAAAAGUUUCUUUUCCCUACCCGAAAAAGAAAUAUCUCUCUCCAAGUAGCCAUCCUACCCAGAAUGAAACUUGCAGUUAGAAAUUUUACUUGUUGAGUCAUCAAUAGUUCCUUCUUCUCACUAAUGUUUGUUAUCUAGCAGCAGUCUAUAAUGUAAUAUUAUUAUGAUGCCUCUUUAUAAUAAAUAGAUUCUCCCAAAAGAAGCCAUAUAACCUUUAUAUUUUGUUGCCUCUCGUAGGCUAUAUUUAGAGGGGCGAUGAAAGGCAAGCUGAUCGUUAGCUGUCCACUUCCACCAGAGAGGAUACCCAGAUUUCAGCUGCUCUUCAAGGACGUGUAGGGAUGAGCUGGAAGGUGGACGUGAUAGUGUGUCGAAGGGGAUGACAUAAUGACUCUUGGUAUUCAUCCUCUUAACGGUUCUUUUAGUAGCUUCUAAUCAAGUGUCAAAUGCACAUGAAUCAUUGUGUCAAAUGACAUGUUCAAGCAUUCUAAAAUCCCUUGGAUCGAUCAUUUUCCUGUAAGCUGUGUACAUAUAUUAUUUUGCUUCAUUGCAUACAAAUACGAGCAUUAUUUGCUUCAUUCAGUGUUAGAUACAAAUUUGGAAAAACAUUACUUGAAAUACAAAUUUGCUUUGUUAUGGAAAUAUAGUUAUUUGCUAUCUCCAUGCACCAAUUUUACUCUAUGGAUUCUUAAUCUAAUGAUUUAAGCUUGUUCGACUUAGUGGAGUCUGAUCUCCCCCCAUCUCAUCUUCUAACCUUCUCACUGUCCUUCAUUCCUUACAGAUGAAACCAGUAAACAAUUUUUUCUCCCACUCCUCAUCACAUGCAUGUAAUACGAUUAAAGCAAGCCAUCUAAGUUUUCUUCCUCUCUUCUUUUUUUUUUGGUCUGGGUAACAAGUAAUACGAUUAAAGCAAUGAUAAUAACCAAAUGCAGAUAGAAGCAUGCUACAGUAUCCAGGACUCAAUUAUCAAAAGAAAACGUGAUUUGUCAUCAAGAAGAACUUGCAAGUUGCAAGACACUGUCAAGUCCCUUGACUUCAACCAACACAAGCACAAUCUAAUUCAAACGCCAUGUGAGGAACUCGGAAGACAACCAAUUUUGUCUUUGGCUUACCCUUGGCCAAUGAGAACACUGCUUUUAAUCAAAAGCCUCUUGAAUAGAGCGUUGAAACAACAGUUUUCUUCCACCCAAGCCUCCAAAUUAGACUGCAUAAAGAGCGCAGUCCGAACAAACGCAUUUCUUGAGGCCAACUGUGGUGGAUGAUGCUGCAAGUAAUAAGCCCACUAGCUUUCAUUUCCAGUCUGGUCUUCACACGCACCUGCAUUAAAAGGCAUCAAUAGAAGCUUGGAAUACAACCAUUCUUCCCCAGAAGGGCGAGAAAUACUGGCCAACUACACCAGUAAAGGUUGUCCAUGAAAAGCAUCUUAAAUGAAGGCACUAGUCAUAAGAAAAAACCAGAUGUAUUAAGCAUUUUUAUGUGAAAACAACUGCUAAAAUUUACGAUACUAAAUAAUUAAAACACUAAAUAACAUUUGUGAGCAGCUUCCUCUGAAUCUACUUAUGAGAUGGAACAGAAUAGUAAGCGGUAGCUGUUAGUCAACGACAGACAUAUUAAGAAUUGAAAGUUCUCGCUAUGCAAAUCCAAAAAUAGUUUCUAAUAUUUUGCAUGAUAACCCAUUAAAAGUGACCACCGGGAAGCCGUGGGAAGCAACUUACUUGAUUGCUUCGUGACAAACACAAUCACUGCUAGAUCAUGAAUCCAUGAAUCUUCAUGAGAUGUCAAAGAACAGAAGCAAUAAACGCAUCAAACAUCAUGAGGAAGCAAAUGAAACCAUGAAACUCACAUUCCAUACAAUUAUGUUAAUUUCCUGAAAUGUAAUAGAUGAUGUGGAUGCACUAAAAUGAGAGAUAAGCAUCAAAAGUUGCAAGGAUAUUCUUGUUUGAAAAAUGAGAAUAAGAAGCCUGCAUUUUCUUGAAAAAAGUAAUCGGUGAUCCCUUAAAAUGCUAUAGUUCUCAUCACCUGGAGCAAUUAAAUCUCUUGAGAGAAUCUACAUGAACUCUUCUGAUAAUAACAAUGCUAUUAAGCUUCUGCUCCAAACAUCUAGUACGUAAGUUACGGAUAAUCUAAAGCUAUAUUUAGAUAAAACCUACACAAGUAGGUUGGAUAAUUACACUGUAUAUAGGAAAAUAUUAACAGAAUUAGCUUUGAAGAUUUUGUUUCAUGCAUGACUUAAUAAGCUCCCAACAACACAACUAUGAAGUUAUCCACCAACUAUGAAAUAUGCAAUCAAAUAGAUAGAAAAUUAGUUCAGAAAGGUUUUACUCUUAGGCAUCCAAUUUACAAUGUAUGAGAUUAAUAAGCUACACAAAACCUAAAGUCAUCCAUCAAAAAUUCUAUUUUCUUCCACAGAAUAAAUGGUUCAAAUCCUGAUAAAUGGUGGUUCAGCAUAAAUGAAAGCUAAUAUGAGUGGAGACCAUUUAAAAGGUAAACAUAUAUGGCAGUAAUACAAAAUUCAAUCUGAGAACGGUGUUGUUUUAUUUUUUUUCCAAGUACCAAGAUCAAACAGAACUACUACAUCUGAAAAUAAUCUUUUGGGUGAACAGAUUAAGCCUGUAUUCAAAUGGUUUAACUACUGCGAUCAGUAUGUCACAACACUACAAAACAGAUCAAGAAUGGGUUCAAUUGAAGAUGUAAAAGGACAACAAUUGGAAAGGCGAAAGCUUUAUACCCUAGAUCUUGAUGAUCUUGGCAGCUUUGACCACAGGAUUAGCCUUAGCAAUCUCCUCCCUCCCCAACGCCUUGUAAUCGAAUGAGCAAUCAUGAGUGUCGGAAUACCGGUGGCGACCGCAGAAGAGAUCCCCGCAUCGGCACCGGAAUCCGGUCAGCCCCACCUUUCUCCCGCAAGUGGAGCACCCGUUGAUGAAUUUUACCUGCGGUUUGGAUUCCUCCUCAGGCUUCGACUCCUUGUCGGUCUUGGGCGUGGUAGAUGCCGCGACGGCGGUCUCCGUAGCCGUAGUCUCCGCUCUCGGGUUCGGUGAUUGCUCGCAAGGUUUCAAGAACAGAGACGGGGGUAACGGGGACGAUGAUGGAGGAGCGGGAGUCGACGGGGAAGGGGAGGAAGGUUUGAGGAUUUCGGCUUCGUCUUUGUCAAGAUUACAACUUUCUCGAGCCAUUUGAUGCACUGGAACAGAUGCGAACACAAGCAGAUCGAGGAUAUUGGAGCCGAACAGGAUUAAGAACUAAGAAUAAGUUUCAAGGAUCGAUAAAAGAGGGAUAUCUGAAGUCUCCAAUCGACGUGAUGGGUGAAAAAAAGAGGUUUUCAGGACGGAUUCAUAAGAAAUCAAAUAAAAUUCGAUCUCAACCCUCAAAAAGGGACGAAUUUUCCAACAAAAAAAGCGCAAAAAAUCAGUAGUCAGGAGGGACUAAAUCUGCAGCGGAUCGAUCAGGAUGUAAGCUUCGUUGAACGCGAAAUCGAAUCGGAGACAGGAUGAGGCUGUCAGAGAUUUUUCCCCAUGCUUCCUAGGAAUCAAGUUCGAAGGGCAGCAACAACCGAGAAGAUGAUCAGAAAGAGGGGAACCCUGAUCGAUCCGAUCGAGGAAGUGGCGAAACAAUCGGUGGAAACAGGGGAAGAUGAAGGAAAAGUAAAGGUGGGAACUUCGGAGGCGGUGGAGGAAAAGGACGAAUAAAUGGGAAUACAUCCGUCGCAAUACAAAUGAUAAGGCGAUUAAAAUAAAGCAAAAUGGUCGAAAUAAUCUUCGUGUCCAAGCGAAAUUCCACGCUGUAAUAUUCUUUUCUUUUCCGCAACACAUUUCAGUCAACUUAAAUUAGAUUAAAAAUAUUUAUUAAUUAAUUUUUGAAAAAGACUUUCCCAAUAUCCCGAUUCAACUCAGAACGGAUCGAGUCUCAGCGACCGCCUGAUUCAACUCAGAUCGGGUCGAGUCUGAGUCGAGCUGAUUUGUCCUCUGGUCCGAUUGAACCACAUGGCUCAACCUUCAACCCAAACCACCACCCCAACCCAACCCCACGCGCACCCGUGCUCUAAACGCAGCCUCUCUUUCUCCCCAUCGACUGCGGCAGUGCGGCUUAGCCUCGGUGCACGGUGACUGAUUUCGUCUCCAUCGGCGAACGGCGGCAGCUUCUUCCCCUCCCGUUAUCUCUCCCUCUCCUUCUCGUCCUCCUCCUUCGCCGUCGCACACUCCCUUCUCCGCCCUCCUUCCUCUUCCCCUCCGUCGUCACAGCUCCGUCUCGACCGGAAUCCGGUCAGCCCAGCGCCUUUGACGACACUGGGCAGGAGGGGAAUCCUUCCAUUUCUCCGUGCCGUAACAUUCGUGCUUGAUGCUUAUCCCUUGAUCAACAGUAGAAGACUCGAGAAUCUGUCAUCGUCGGGCCUUCGAGGAUUAAAAGAAAAUCCCAUCGAUCGCAAAGACGAAGCGCGAGGACUGUUUUGGCCAUGGAAGAGGGAGCGAAGGGCGGUAGCGAAAGCUCAGGGCUCGAAACCCUAGUCCUUGAGAAGGUUGGGGAGGUCUCAUCCGCGAUCGAUGCCGCGAAGCACGUCGACGAAGUGAUCUGCGCCCUCUACUCCCUUGCUGUCCGCAUAUUUCCCGUCGACUACUCUGCCCUUUGCGGUUCGAUUUCGGAUCCUUCACGUCUCUUUCUCUUGGAAUGGGUCUUUUUGUCGUACUUUUUCUGUCGUAGUGUCACUUAUUUGUUGAAUGAUAGAUGGAUUUGCACUGAAAAGGAAAAAAAAACUUAGGAGCUUAUGAUUGGGGGAGGCAUCUGAAUUUUUUGACGUGUCUGAAAAUUUAUUUAUUUUCUUAAAACAAAACGGCUCAUUGCAAUAUUUGGUUACUUUGCAGAUACCAUCGAUCCUGCUCAGAGAAGCAAGGUACUACUCUGGUCCACAAUGCUACUUGGUUUGAUAUCUCACACAGAGGAGGUUCUUAACGUUUUGUGUUAUCUAUUUAUGCAACUACAAUAGUGUCCACAAGAAAAUUCUGAACUUGAUGUGAAAAAUAAAUAAUGUAAAGAUGGUUGUAAUUCUAAUUAAAGGUGAGAUAAUGCCUGGAAUCGAAAACAUAGAUGCAGAGAAGAAGAAUUCAUUGAUAAGAAAAAGGUGCUAGGGUGAACAUCCAGCUAAAGAUUGAAAACUAAAAGAGUGGCUCAGUGCCCAAGGCCUUGUGCACUGGUGUACACCUGUGGAUUUUCAAUUUAAGGGGUGUUUCUUCUCAGGGACUUUCGAGUUAAAUUUUAUUUUGAACAAGAACUUAUGCUAUAUACAAUCCCUGACAUUCAAUUCCAACAAUUAUCUAUAUUUAGUUUAGUAGCAGUUGUAUAAGGUCCCCUAAAAUCAUGUUUGUUUGCUAUGCACUUAUAUACUUACAAACAUGUAGUUGUCAUCAUUUAUGAAUAAAUUCUCUCUUCCUGGAACUUGCGAUGGCUGGAAUGAAUGAUCCAUUUUGCAUAUCUUGAAACCUGUUCAAAGAUCCUGUACACCCCGUUGUAGUAAACUAGCAUGUCCUCAACAUAGAGUUGAACUCAGAUUAUGAAUCUUCUUUUACUUGCAUUCAAUUUAGUAAAGUUGCUUACUUGCAUGAAUAUGUAGUUUGGGACACUCUUCAUGGCUUAAUUUUUGGGUGUAUUGCUUUAGAUAUCACUACAUCCUUUGAAUGUUAGAAGUGUUCUUUGCCUGAUUAUUGGUUGAAGCAUUAACCAUCCUUUGUUUUCUUACUUUUACACAAAUCUUUUGAUUACAGAUGAUUCUUUUUUUGUCUAUCAUCCAUAUUUAUUAUUUUGAAAGGAUUAUAUGAAUAAACAUACUAUGCAUGCUUUAAUCUCCAAUAUUAGACUGAGCUCACGAUUUUGAGAUUUGAUCCACUUCGAGUGUCCAUUUUUUUUGUUUUAUGUGUGGGGGUUCAGUGAUGGGUGUCACAUGGUGCUUACAGUCCACAAAUAACCCUUACCAUAAUAGUAACUUGUGGCUGACUAGAUCCAUGCCUUACCAUGUUAGCAUGAGGCAUUCUGGAAGAAGCUGCACUGUCCUUACUAAGCGUGGAGAACUGUAUCUAGUAUUUCAGCUGCUACAAAAUUUUGAAAAUCCUGAAGUUAAGUGUUAUGUUUUUGCUUCCAGUUGAGAGAAUCAGCCUAAUCUAGUUGACUUUGAUUGACAUCAAACCCUUCCUGCUAAUAAUAUGGUCAAGAAAUCGGUCAAAAUUGGAUCAACCUUGGAUGCUAUUGAUACAUAUCAGAUGUGUUGUAUCAAAAUUACCACAAACCGAGGUCUUCUUAUUUUGUUUACCACUGUUUUUCAGGUACAUGAGAUACUAUCUCCUGCCCCUGCUGAAAGCGGUGAAUGGAGGCAGGCUUUCUACUAUGGACCUGCGUUUCCAACCUUGGCUAGGAUAUUGAUCUAUAGUAAGUUUCAUUCUUUAGUUGAAACAUCUUUAUUGUGAUAAGAUAUGCUGGAUCUAAUAGAGUUUUCUCUAAGUUGACACAUAUUUCUAUAUGUAAAUAUAUGAAUUAUAUGUCAAUUUUUUCCUAUGAUACCAUAUGACUAAUGCUAUCUUCAAAUUUUCAAAUCCCAUGGUUGUCCGUAUAUACUGAUUUUUAUGGUUCUAACAUGUGUAUGUACUGAUUUAUCACUAAUCUUGUGUUCAACUUUUUCCUCUCUUUUUUUCAUUCCUUUAUCUACGAAGAAAGCAGGAAAAAAUAAACUUCUUCCGCCCCUUUUUUCCUUCAUUCUCUCCUCCUCAUUUGUUCUCAGGCUUGGCUGCACCCUUCCAGAUUGCCUCCCCUUCUCUCAUCAUUCUCAUUCCAUUCUCGGAUGGGGCUAGUUGGGUCUGGGAAUCAGCAACUUUGCUUCCUCAUCCCUUCCUCUUGCAUCCUUUUUCUCUCUUUUCAUUUUCCUUUCUAGUUUAUUAUCUGACAAUUGGAACUGUCUGAAUUGGUCAAGAUGUCCAAUUCUGUUAGAGAUCUGUUGAUGUUGAUCAAUUCUGGCUUUUGGCAUUGAAGUGGGCAAAACGAUCUAAAUCAGGUUGGCUGAUUUGGUGAGCCAUGCUUGUCUGCUAAACUGAAAAUUAAGGUGUAUAUGUGCAAACAUGAACCUUUAGAAUGAUGCAUCCAAAUACUUUUUUAAUAACUAGCAUUUGAUUUGUGAAUGUGAUAUAUUCUUUAGUAAUUAUAAUUCAUAUCUCCAUUCGGAAAAAUAGACUGCAACAAUUUUAUUGUAAGAACUUGUUCUUCAUUGAAAAGCCUGUGCGAGUGCAUGCUAUUAAAAAUGCAGAAUUAAUUUGAGCUGAUGGUAACAUUCUUUGUAAAGAAAGUAGCUUUAGAUGACUGGCACACGUUUUAGUAAAAGGUUUUCUAAGUGCUUGAUAAUUGUCAUAUCUAAUGUGCAGAUGUUGCAAAAGACUGGCUUGCAUGCUUUUCUUCAUCUACGAAGAAGCAGGUUUAUGAUUCAUUUUUCGUUCAAGGACCUCCAACUGAAAUAGUACAGGUCCUUGUUCCUGCUUUGGUGCACGGUUAUGAUGAUGCUAUCUACUCGAAUAUUGAGAGGUACUUACUGUACCAUCUGAUUGAUGCCACAAUUAAGUUGAUUUUGGUACUUUGGAGCAGUAUGAAAGUUAUUUUACAGCAGAGUUAAUUAAGAUUGUGCCUCAUUUAGCAACAAUGGUGACUGCAAUAAUAAAUCAUGUUAGUGCGUCACAACAAAUGUACUUCCUAGAUCAUAUUACUCGUCAAACCUCUUUUAACAUACCAUGAUUUUGGCCUUAUUUGACCAAAUCAUUUGAGGAAUCCUUAGCUAUUACUUAUAUUUGGUGGUAGUAUGAGAAUCCAGAUGUCAUGAAAAAUCAUUAGAAACUUUAGUUUUUAUUGGUACAUGAUAAGAUGUGUAUGUGAUCAACCAUAUAUAAUGCUCUUGUUUAUCUAGAUCUUGAUAUGCUGAUUAUACUGAUUUAAUACUGAGCAUAGUUAUCGGGAUCAGAUCGAACCAAGUGGUGGUGCUGGAAAAACCGGGAACCGGACCAUUAACCAAUCCAAUUCAAUUAUUGGAAUGGAUAUGUUCAAAAACGGGAAUGAACCGAUUAACCCGGUUGGAUUUUGGAUAACCAAUAUAAAACCGACUGACCGAGUACAUAAAACCGAUCCAAAUUACUUAAAUACCCUUAAACUUUUUUAUUAUUUAUUCGAGAGGGUAUUUGAAAUUAGGGUUAACCUUAUUUAAAUAUGACAGAUGAUACUCUCAAUCUUGAUGAGAUUUUAAUGAUAUCAAAAAGAAGAUAAGGGAGAUGAAAUUAGAGCACGCUAUAUAAGAAGAAUUUGAUUUGAGGACAAAUAAAAAUGAGGAGAACGAAAAAAAUAUUGGAACAGAUAAAAAUGAGUUCGAAAAUUUAGAUUAUAAUACAAAAAUUUACUACAUGGGUUAGAAUUAUCAUGGCAUAUUGAUGACUAAAAAGUUUCCAUCUAAUCAUGAAUUCAUGAUAAUUAUGUUGGAUAAACUAUUUCUUAUAUAUCAUUGAACAAUUGAUUUUAGAUUGGAUUAAUGUAAUCACGACCAAGAUUUUUUCAUGUGUUAUUUGAUCUGGAUAAUGUUUAUAACUUUAUAUACACAAUGUUGCUUGAUAUUAUCAUUCCACAUCUUCUAUCUAUUUUUUAAUUAGUUUUAAUAUUUUAGAUUUUUACUAUAUAUAAUUUUAAAUUGUUUAAUAUAUUUUAAAAUAUUUUUAAUUUAAACAUGUGGUUCGACCAAUUGAUCCACCGGUUCAACCAAUGACCCAGAGAACCAAGUCCUUGAGAUUCAUAGAUCAUUUGCUUCGAUAUUGGUUUAUGUUUUCACCUCAUUACUAAUCGUUCUUCUGUUGUAUUAUUCUAUUUUUCUAAAACAAGGACUAUGAUAAUAUAAUUUUAGUUAAAUACACCUUUUUGUAUUACUUAUACUUAUCACUUGCAUAAUUUCUUUAUGAGUAACAAACUAUCAAUAUUAUCAGAUAAGUUGAUAAUUUAAUCAUAGCAUAAUUUAGCUUCUUCUUCUUUUUUUAAAUCUAUCCAUUGUUUUCGCUGCAGAUGCACUAGGUGAUACUUAGACCACUUGCAUAUCAUGGUUGUUUUUGGAAGAUUUGAAUAUAACCAUUAACAGUCAACCACCGUUUGAUGAUCAGCACGUUCUAUCAUGGUUCAAAAAUUUGAUCAGUCAAUGUUUGUUAGUUGAUGUGUUUUGAUGAUCAACUUUUGCUAUUCAUCUAUUGUUUGACUUUCAAUUAUCAAAUUGUCAUUGGUGAUUGAUGAUUGCCAUUCAACAGGAUAGACUGUCCAAUGACUAUCACUUACUGAUUGGUCAUCUGCUGGCAAUCAACAAUCAUCUAUUGACAGCUUGUUGAUACUUGGUGAUCAUUAACUGAUGGUUGUUGGUAUGCUGAAGAUUAUUGACUGAAUAUAUAGUAUGUUUUUGGUCAUUUAUCAUCAUGGUCUAUUGGAUAAUUGAUGAUUAGUGAUCAUCAAUCUGACUGCUGGUUUGACUGUUAUUGGAAAUGUCUGUCAAUUUGUUAAAGAACAAAAGAUUACCGACUUGGUCUAUGCGAGCAACGGCUGUCAUAAUGAUUUCCUUCAUCACUUACACACUUUCGGAAUUUUAAGCUGUCACUUACGUGGCAAAUGUACAGGAUCAUAUAGCCAUGGCCAAUCCCUUGUCUCACCACUCCAUCUAUCCAUCUCUCAUUAUAAUUUGAUAUGAUUUCUAGUGACUAUAUCAAUAUUGGAUCUUUACUGACUGUAAAUGAUGUGUACUAACUUGUUAGUUAAAUAUAACCCAAUAUCCAGACUAACCUAACAGAUUUUGUUCUUGUGGUGUUCAUUAUAUUUCUUAUCAUUUCCUUUCUAUGUGUAAAGCAGGCAGCAUUUAUCUUUUCCUCUACUAUGUAUAUUACAGGUUACUGGUACGAUGCUUGCUUAAGAGCGAAGGGAUACGGCAUAUUGUCGGUGAAUUUAGAAUCCAAUGUAGCAGUAGCAAACAUGAUUAUGCACUUAAGCCAGAGAUGUUAGCAGUCAUGUCUAGGGUUGCACAGCUUCUCACUUCUGUUCCUGACAAAGCAAGAUUGCAAGCCUCAUCGGCACUUUCAUCGCAGUAUCCUUCUGAGAUAUUGUCUUGGUUCUAUAGAUGUAAUUUUAACGAUUCAAAGCUCAAUUUGGAUUCUGUUUGAUGAUUCUGGAGCUUCAUGUCAUGUAUCAUGAUUCCUUUUCAUGUUGAUACCAGGAGUGCGCUCAUUGUUGGUUCUUAAAAUUUUCACAUUAAGAUCAUAUGCUCAUUUAAUUUGCCCUUUUUUCUUUUUAUAAUGUUUUAUCAACAUCAUCUCCUCUCAGUAAAAUCAGUCAUAGAAAUCUCUUAUAUUUCCUAAUGUAGAUUACAUUUCAAGGAUACCUUUCAUUAUCAGCUAUUUUCUGUUUUUAUCCUUGAUUAGCUACUAGCUUGUUCUUCCAGCAAAUGGCUAGACAACUUCUGUGUGGAGCAGAAGAUUGUAACUUUGAAAUGUUGAACCCAAGAGAUGCCUCCGAUGCAAAUACUGUGGAUGGCUCAUUGUUAUUUAUCGGUGAAACAUUUUCAAGGAUUUGCAGGCGUGGCUCAACAGGUGAUAAAAAAAUAGUUUAAUGCUAAGUCUGGUCCUGCAAAUUAUUAUUGUUCCAGCAAAGCAACUUAUUGAAGUUAACUUACCUGACAGUAGAUAGGUUAAUUAUAGGCCAAGCAGAUGCUAAAAUUUUACUUUUAACAUUUAAUAUGAGCAAUUGAUAUAAAUUGAUCACAAAAACUUUACUUUUAACAGUUAGGUGUACCAUUGAUAGAAGAUAAAAUGAGGAAAAACCAUUAGAAGGAUAUAUGCAUGUUCAAUGGAGACCUAUAAAUUCCCUGGUGAGGUAAGAUGAAUUGAUCAAUAUUAGUGAUGAGGAAAAGUAGAGGACACAUAGGAAAAUUUUAUAUGAGCAGGAAAAGGAAACUUGACUGCUUUAUGUAACUAGGGAUAUUCACCUACCCAGAGCUUAAUGGGAAGAAAAAAUUCAUGCAAGCAAUCCCAAAUAAUUUGGAUCUGUGGCUUGUUGUUGUACCUUCUAGUAUACAAUUGUAAGAGAUCUUUAAUAAAAGAAUGAAAUGUAGUUAACCAUUAUGUUUUUCUUUGAAACUUUUUCAUUUUUACAUAUUGCUCCAUGAAUAUCAUUGGGCUGUUCCAUGUUGUGUUUCACAAUUAGAACAGUCUUCAUAUGUUACUGGGCUAUCAUCUUAAUUGUUGAUUUACAAGUUGGAUGGACCACUAAAUGUAAUGUAUGCCACGCAAUAUUGUCAGAUUUGGGAAUUUUAAGAUCUUGCUAGUGUCCUAUUUCUAUAUUGUUUUAGUCAUUAAGUUACUAUUUUUCAGAUAUUCUACUCAUAAAGGUGAUCCCUAGGAUUCUUGAUCACAUCCGAAGCUGCUUGUCAUCGAAUGCUGGUUCUGUUGCUUUUAAUAUGAUUGAAUCUAGUCCAAAAUCCCAUUUUUGGUUGUUCAUUAUGGAGGCAAUGAAAGAUCAAUAUGCCAUUGAAAGAUUUUCUGAGGAGCUACUACGGCAAUUAGCAACUCAGAAUGUAAGUGAUGUUGAAGCUUAUUGGACGCUUUGGUUGUUGUUUCAUCGGAUUGUCAAGCAAAAAACUAAUAUUAGGUGAGAUGGUGUCACCAUGUUAUCUAUGAUAGCAAGUUUGUUGCUAUUGUGUUGUUAAUAUUCUUCCUCCCAAUUGGUGCAUAUUCUGAAUGUGUUUUUGAUAUUAAAGAUUCAAAAUUCCCUAAAUCAAUAGCUACAGGAAAAGAACUUCAGCAAAAAAAAAAAAUGAUUUGAUAUCUACCGUCAAGCAAUAGUUUGUCAAACUCCUAUCUAUAAAUUAUAGGUUGCUCUUAAUGAGUAAGAUCAUGCAUGUGUAUAUGAAAUCUUGAAUCUAAAAUGCCUACUCUGGAUGAUAUAUCUUGCAUUAUUAGUUUUUGUUUUUCCCCACAGAAAUCAUUGCUUCUAUUCAAUGAUUAAUAUUGUCAUUGCUACGACUGGUUAAGUCAUUAUCUAACUAGUUGUGGUCUCAUGAUAAAACUCUGAUCUGAUACAGCAGAUACUGACUUUUCAUCUGGUUUCUUAAGUUUGACAUAUAAUCACAUAUAGCUUCAAUCUGGAGUUUAACUUUGACACACAUUUAUGAUGUUUGAUGCAUGAGUGUGUAAAAAUACAGUAUGCUUACCUUAACUGCACUUUUUAAUUAUGCUCAUUUCAGGUACAUCUUUGUUGACAAAUUUGUGUUUUGGAAAGUAUUUCCUAUCUGCUGCUUGAGAUGGAUUCUUCAGUUUUCGGUUUUUGAGUGCCCACCGAAUUUCGAUUCUGAGGCAAGAGCCCAGAGGACAUCAUCUUUUCUAGAUGUAUUGCAUCGAAUAAUUAGCAUUUGGUCCAGGCGUGAGUUUGUUCAAUCAUCUUCUAUGGAGCAGCAAGCUUGUAUCCUUCUGAGCAAUAGUUUCUUAGUUUAUUUUUCUUUUCCGUUACUCUUUUGUACUUCCUUAAGUGAAAAUCAGAUGUCACUUAUGCUGUUGCUUUAUGCAUUGAGAAAAUGUCUAAAGAGGAAUUAGAAACAACCAAAGAUAUAUUGCAUUCUAUUCUUCAAGGAGUCAGCUGUAAAUUCUUCUUCUAGAUUAAAUAAUUUUAUGUGAAUUUCUACCAAAGAUUCUAUAAUAUUUUUUUAUUAAACUUGGUUCUAAGAUUUGUAGGUAGACUGGAGAGCCCAAUUGAUUUAGUUCGGAAGAUGGCUAGCUCUGUUGCAUUGGUAUUUUCUAAAGUUGUUGAUCCAAAGAACCCUCUCUACCUUGAUGAUGAUUGUUCUGAAAUUAUUGACUGGGAAUUUGGGUUUAAAAGAAAGGAUGUGGUAACUACAGAUGAAACUAGAAAAGAUAAACUAAAUGGUACUCUGUCCAAGGAUAUGGAAAAAGAUAAACUAGAUGCUACUCUGUCCAAGGUUACAGAAAGUGCCUCUCAUGCUAAAAGGCUGAAAGAUACAAAGCAUCAUGCUGUAGAUGGUGGUAAAUUGAUUUCAGAAUGCAGGGUGAAUCAUUGUGCUGGCAUGCCAAACAAUGAACAUGCCUCUGCUGAAGAGGAUGAUGGUGAAGGCAAGAAUUCUGAUGCAUCUUCAAGUGACUCACUAGAACCAUAUGAUCUGUCGGACGGUGAUACAGAUAUGAAACUUUUCUCCCAGCUUGGUGAUAUUGCUGCAGCAUUACGGAAACCAGAUGAUCCAGAUGGUGUAAGUUGCUGUGCUUACUUUAUAUAGUCAUUGUCAGGUUAUCGUCUGUCAAAAAUUUUCACCUAUUUGAAAGUUUAGUGAAGCUAUUAAUGAAUGCCCCCGUUUGAACAUUCAUAAUGCCUUACUUAUAGGUGGAAAGAGCACUGGACAGUGCUGAAAAGCUUGUACGAGCAACACCUGAUGAGCUUCCCCAUUAUUCAGGUGAUCUUGUCAGAGCAUUAGUGCAUGUUCGUUGCUCUGAUGUAGCAGUUGAAGGAGAGGAAGAUUCUGCUGAAGGAAAAAGGCAAAAAGCACUGGUUGCGUUGCUUGUCACAUGCCCAUUUGAAUCAUUAGAUGUGUUAACCAGAUUACUAUAUUCACCAAAUGUGGAUGUUAGCCAACGGAUUCUGAUACUUGAUGUCAUGACUGAGGCAGCACAAGAGCUUUCAGAGAGUACGAUCAUUAGAAUGAAACAUCAGCAAAGGAAUUUAAUAUCAAACAUUUCAGGUCAACCAUGGUUUAUUCCUAGCAGUAGAGGACCACGUGGAGCUGGUCCUUGGAAAGAGGUUUCUGAUCCUGGAACUUCUAUCAGUUGGUCCCACCGUUAUGAAAGAGAAAUUCCUUCAAGAGCUGGUCAAAUAAAGUCAGGAAAAUCUCGUAAAUGGGGUCUUGUAAAAGCCAAGGAUCCAGAGUUGGAAUCAUCAAGAAACAGAUUUCCUCUUUAUGCUGCUGCAUUUAUGCUUCCUGUAAUGCAAGGAUUUGACAAAAAAAGGCAUGGAGUAGACCUACUCAACAGGGACUUUGUUGUCCUCGGAAAACUAAUCUACAUGCUUGGUGUAUGUAUGAAAUGCAGUAGUAUGCAUCCUGAAGCAUCAGCUUUGGCUCCUCCACUUCUUGAUAUGAUUAGAUUUAGGUAGUAGAAAUUUGAUUUUUUUUUUUUAUAUGUGAAUCUAAAGACUGAUGACCUCACAGGAGUGGUUUUAUUGAAUUUUCUUCAGGGAGUUAUCACAUCAUGCUGAAGCAUAUGUCAGAAGAUCUGUGCUUUUUGCUGCAUCAUGCAUACUGGUUGCUUUACAUCCAUCACAUGUUGCAUCUGCUUUAAUUGAAGGUAAUCAGGAAAUUUCCGAUGGACUCGAGUGGAUUCGGACAUGGGCACUUCAUAUUGCCGAAUCGGAUCCAGAUGCAGAAUGCUCAACGGUAUGUAUAUUAAAGCCCCAACCACAGAACAUGCUGUCUCCAUUUGUUAAUUUUAAAUAUGAAAAUUUUAACUUCGAAUUGAUUAUCUUUAUUUGAUAAUAGUACUCCAAGAAGCAAUUUAUAGUAAAGAAUAGUUGCAAUAUGAUUAUUUAAUUUCAAAGACAUUCAAAAUUGCUAAAUUUUAGAAUCCAUGUUGGUUUAGGAUUAAACAUUCCUUUUCUGAAGAUGCUGCAUGGUUUCCUGCACUAGUUUUUAAUCAUUUCUUUACAUUUAUAUCCUUUCCUUUUCAGGCCUCAACUCAUGAAAUUUUCUACUUGUACAUAUAGUUGCACCUGAAGUCAUUUAUGCACAUAAAUUCCCUCAUUCCUUUAACAUUUUUUAGUUUUGUUUAGCAUGAUCCAUGAGUCUUACAUGUGUCUUAUUGCUAAAAUGUGGAAAUUAAGAUAUGAAACUAUCACCAUUAUGCCAUAUAUCAUUCUAAAAGAAAAAUUCUUUGUUUGCACUUUGCCAAUAAAUCUAAAAAAUAUAAUAUGUGAUUUAUGGAUUCUCAUUGCAAGUUAGGAACAUAAGUAUUGGAUUUUGUUUUACAAGAAAUGAAUUUUAUUGCUAACAGGUUACAGAUUUUCAUCAACAUAUUCUUUGAUUUAUGAACUUGAAGCUUGGACUACAACACACCGUAAUGUAUUUUCUUUUCUGAGAAAUGAACUUUGUUCCAAACGUGUUGCAGAUCUUCAUCUAAAUGUUCUUAAGUAUAUUAACUUGAAUCUUGGAUUACAACACGAAGUAACAUAAGGUUACUUGUCUGCAUUAUUAAGACUAGUUAUAUAGAUAACUUGUUUAAUGAGAUAACAGUUCGACAACUCUAUCAAUGACAGAUCUGGUUAACUAGCCACACUAUCAAUGACCAAUCUCCAUAAUGUGAAAAAUAGCAACAUGAAUGCUCUUCUGAUUUCAUUGGAAAUAUGUAUUGAUAUUGAUACUUCGAAUCAAUAGCAAAUUUCAUCAACUAAAGAAGACAUUAUUAAAGUAACUCUUCCCCAUCAUCCAAAAUCCUCUGUGUGACAUUUAUGAAUGAAAAGUAUUGAAAGAAUUCUAGUUCAUACCUUGGUUACUGUUUUGCAGCAAAUCUGUCAAUAGAUUGGGGUGUCUUAUCAUAUAUUCUUCAGCUUAUUUGUUUAUUCAUUUUUUACCUGAUACAUCAUAUAUGUACUGUGACAACGAGUUAUCUUAAUAUGCAGAUGGCCAUGACAUGUCUUCAGCUUCAUGCUGAGAUGGCUCUCCAAACAUCCCGUGCACUUGAGUCGGCCAAGUCUGUCAAAGCACGAACAAAUACCCUACCUUUGAAGUUGGAUGAUAUUAUAAUACCAUUCUCGAACAUGAGAUAAGAAAUGAGAACAAUCUGUAGUUGGAUUUUGAUGUACUUAUGCCCUCUUUUUCUAUCAUUUGCUUGAUCUUCUUUAUCUUGCAGAAGCAACAAAUAACUUGCAUCAUCCUAUGAGGUACAGAUACAAUUAAAGGUUAUUUUAUGAACUACAUAUACUUGUUUAAUUUGUUAAUAUAAGUGAAACACACAAUUAGCUGUUUUUCUAACUCUUGUGUAGAAUAAUGGUGGUAUGCUUGGUAUGUAUCUGUCUGAGCUAAAACCAAUAUGGUAUUGGACUAGUUUCAACAUUAAACCAAUAUCUUUCUUUGACAUAUCUCAUCAGUAUCAGUUAAUACUGUUAAUAUCACUGUUCACUCCAAGCUACAAAAGUGCAUCUUAUGUUCAAUGCAUUCAACAUCUUUAGGGUCUAGUAGAAAACAGCUGGAUGAAGCUAGAUAUUAUAAUUUCUUUGAAUCAUGUUACCACUUAAUGAUACAUCCUAAUCAGAGCAUCAUGAAUUUUGAUUGGACUGUCAUACCAGUCCCAUAAUUUAAGGCUUUAUUAGCAGCAGGAGGUUGAUACUCAUUUUGUAAGGCUAUAUACUGAUUUCAUCAUUUUGUUUCUUUGACAGUAUCAAAUAGAUGCUGUAGCACUUAACAAGCGUAGGAUGCUGUGUCCAGUAUUGUUGUUUCUGCUAUCUAUGUUUGUAUGGUUGUUAUGGUCUCCACUUGUGUCACAUCUACAGGAAAUAGUAGCUGAACAGUAUAUAUAUAUAUAUAUAUAUAUAUAUAUAUAUAUAUAUAUAUAUAUAUAUAUAUAUAUAUGUUGAACAGUAUAUCGUUUGGUAUAUAGUAUGUAUCAAACGAAUAUCGAAAUAUCGGUAUAAUAUGAUAUUUCAAACUUUGUUCUAAACUAUUGUGUUGCCCGAUCUCUCACUGCAUUCCACCUGACAGGUUUUGGUUAUCCUAUGAGGUGUGUCCACUUGAGAUAAAUCCCUCUCUCAGGUAGAACUUUCAUGUUUGUCUAAUGAUGCAUGGUCUAGAAUUUGAGUGUUCCUAUCAUCUAUAUCAUUUUAUCUGGAUAUGAGAAGCUGUAGCACUAACCAAUAUCUGCACUACAGGAAAUAAUUAAGUUCUAUCUUCUGGAAGUCAUGUAUGCUUCGCGGUUCUCUCACGUCGACCGCUGUCUCAAAAUAAUUAAGUUCAAAUCAAUGGUUGUACAGCCAUAAAGCCUUUAUAUAACUCAAUAUGUGAAUCAAGCCUGCAUGGAUGCGUGAUGGAGGCCAUGCAAUGUUCCUAAUUUUUCGAGUACUAAACAACAUAUUCUAACCGGGCUUUUGAAAACACGUUCCUUCAUGUUUUUAUUAUUUAAUUAUUUGAAUUUAUUAUGUUUUUGGAACACAAUAAUUUCCUACCUUCUCAGUGAAGAAGAGCCAAAAGCACGUCUUCAUCCUUGUGUUCCUUUUCUUCUUUCUUCCAGAGACAUUGGCCUUUGUUCCAGAAACCUUACGUGCCAAGUCACACUUUAUCUUUCUUCUUUCCCAUCAGAUAAUAAUAAUAAUAAUAAUAAUAAUAAUAAUAAUAAUAAUAAUAAUAAUAAUAAUAAUAAUAAUCAAUAAAAUAAAUAAAUAAAUCUUGGGGCGUAACAUUCUCGAUGCCCACGUGACUCGAGCCCCCAACAAUCCAUGUCACGUGAUGGCAAGCUCCACUUGGACCCCAUGCGGCUUCCCGCCAUUGCGCGUUGAAACGUGGCACCAGGCUAUCCUACUUUCGAUGCCAUGUGGCGUUUUGACCGGCUCGUUAACGGUCCUCGGGCACAUCGAACCGUUAGGAGAGCCACGAAAAAGCGAUUUGCCAUCACCAGUAGUACCGGUUCGCCACGAUGUGGGACCGAGACUGCUCCCAAUCCAUGUCGCUGGGUAUUUGGGCGGGUGGAAUCGUUGCUCGUCGUAUAUUUCCAUCACCCACCUUGGCUUCCCCUAUAUAAGGACAAACCCCUGGCCUGUUUCUUGAACUCGAAUGCUCGUCUCGCCGUUCUCCUCGAUAGCAUUUCGACUUCGCUCUAGUUUCUGAUCGUGAUGGGUAAAACAGUCUUUCUCCCCUUCACAUCGUUCAUCUUGUUAGUCUUCUAUUUGGCUUGUGAUCUUAUUUGUUGGCUCGGAUUUGUAGGCAAGAUCAAGAUCGGGAUCAAUGGUGCGCUUCUCUUGCCCUCUUGUCUUCCUUGUAUCUCCUUAGAGGGAUGUUUCUUUGAAGUACCGGUGAUGAUUUUUAGGGUUUUUUUGGUUUGUAAAUGGAGCGAUGCUUUAUCGAUAUACGUUGAUUUGUAAUCUCGUAGGGUUCGGAAGGAUCGGGCGAUUGGUGGCGAGAGUGGCUCUCCAAAGCAGCGACGUGGAGCUCGUCGCUGUUAACGAUCCUUUCAUCACCACCGAUUACAUGGUAAGACGCUCCUCGCUUCUCUAUUCCGUUCUUACUUGAAGCCUUAAGGAUCCAUACAAGACAAGCUAUCUGCUAAUGGAUUGACUAUAUGUCCAAGAGUAAGCCUGACUUGUUUGCUCAGAUUCAGAAGAGACAUGUUCCGUGAACACUCGGAACCCUUGUGGUCACUUAUGGAGAAGAUGGAACUUCCUUUCUCAUCUAAGUGGCAAGAAGAAUCGACGACCAUGCCAUUAGUAGUUAAAAUUAUACAACUUCUCUAGUCAGAUCGAGUCACUUAUUUGGUGGUCCAUCUCUACAAGAACAUGGCCUCCGGUGUUGAGAUUGCCUAUUUGUUAUUCCUGACUUCACUGAUGCAGUUUAUGAUCUUUGUGUGCGCAUAAAUUCACACGUUCAGAAAAGAAAAUCCUAUCAAAUGUUCCCUCAUAUUGUUCCUCCGGUUGCAAUUUGCUGAAUACUUGGUUUGCUCAAACUUAUCGCUAGAUCUUGUGUUUUAUAGCAUCUUCCGGUUGGAUUGAGUUGCUCACUGUUUAUGACUUCGCAGACGUACAUGUUUAAGUAUGACACCGUGCAUGGUCAAUGGAAACACCACGAUGUGAAGGUUAAGGAUUCCAAGACACUUCUCUUUGGUGAAAAGGAAGUCACUGUUUUUGGACUUCGGUAGGUUGGAUUUCAGUCUUCUUUUUCCUGAUAGUGAUCAAACUCAAUACUUCAUAUCGUUUGGAGGAUACUUGAACUUACUAGAAUUGGUUCCUCAAGGAACCCUGAGGAGAUCCCAUGGGGUGAGACUGGUGCUGAGUAUGUUGUUGAGUCAACUGGAGUUUUCACUGACAAGGACAAGGCUGCUGCACAUUUGAAGGUCAUCUCUAUUAGAAUGUUUUUUCUGAUGAUAUUCUCUCAGUUGGUUUUGCUAUCAUACUGAUGGAAGUUUACACUGAUGUUUUACUUGCUUUUGUGCAUUCUUUAAUUCCAGUUCCAAUAGUGAACGUUUAUUCGACUUAAAUGUCCAAAGAAAAGAAAUUUAAUGCAAUUAAUUAGCAGUACAUAUUUUUCAUGCUAGCGUUGGAUUAUCAACCUGAAAAGUAAUUUGCAUCUAACGGAUAAGGAAGGUGGAUCAAACUUAUUUUAACUUUGCCUUGAUGUCAGAGAUGGUGUCAUGAUGGCACUUGAUGACCAAUCUAAAAUGAACAGGAAACUCGAUUCAAUUUUGCUAUUAGGUGAUGAAUCUUAGUUCAUUUAGCUAUCGCUCACAAAUUGCAACCUUAAUCUCUGUCAUGCGAAAUAUUCAUUGACUUGUGAUGGAUAUUUUACAAGCUUCAACUUACUGUUUUGAGAUUGAGAAAAUAUCUUCGCUUUACCCUUCCGUUUCUUAUCCUUAUCUGAUUGCUUUUCAUAAUCAUAGGGUGGUGCAAAGAAGGUGAUCAUUAGUGCUCCUAGCAAAGAUGCUCCCAUGUUUGUGGUGGGCGUGAACGAGCAUGAGUACAAGCCGGAUAUUGACAUAGUCUCCAAUGCCAGCUGCACCACUAACUGCCUGGCUCCCCUAGCUAAGGUCUCAUUUGCCUUCAUAUAUAGUGUACCUUAAAGAACGUGAAGCCUUUUAGAAAUAGAGCUCAUCUUAUGUAUGUCUGGAUCAUCGCAGGUUGUCCAUGAUAGAUUUGGUAUCAUUGAGGGGUUGAUGACCACAGUACACGCAAUUACUGGUAAUUUUUUUGUGAAACAUAGUAUCACUUUUGUUCUUUUUUUGUAACUCUAUUUUUAUGCUCAAUGGUUUUUUUUUGUUCUAUUUUCUUUUCCUUUGUUUUUAGCUACCCAAAAGACUGUUGAUGGACCCUCUAGCAAGGACUGGAGGGGUGGAAGGGCAGCUAGUUUUAACAUCAUACCGAGUAGCACUGGAGCUGCCAAGGUAUGCUCAUACGUUACUCUGUCAACGUUAAUCCCCUCUCAAAACAGAGUUUAGUUGUCAGUCACACCCCCAUUAGCUGGGGUCAUCUUUGUUUGAUUCUUCAAAUAUGUAUGUCUCCUAUCCUUCUGUCUUGUUUGAAUAAUGCUUAAAAAAUGUUUGAACUUCUAGUUUGAUCAUGACUUCAUACAUGACAUUCCAUAUUUCCAUAUCUGUAGUGUUUGAGCAAGUUUUGGAAACAUUAAAUGCCAUUUAAAGGCCUCAUUUCUCAUCAUAUAUAUUACGAUUUUUGAGUUGGCCUUGUUGUGUGGAGAUGAAUCAUCUGAGUAAUGUGUUGAAUGAUUAUAAAUUAUACAAGUUUUAUAGAUAUAAAUAAUAAUUUAAUGCUUUUAUUAUCCUCAAAUAUUAUGGCUUGCAUCCUGAGUUUGGAUCGGAUCGUGGAUGAAUCUUUUUUUUUAAUUUGAUUACUGAUUCAUGUCUCAUUUUUUGGUUGAUCAGUGGCUUCACUUACAGUUGUGUGUUUUCUUGAUUGUCUAGGCUGUUGGGAAAGUUCUCCCUGCUUUGAAUGGGAAACUGACGGGGAUGGCUUUCCGUGUUCCUACUGUGAAUGUCUCUGUGGUGGAUCUCACUGUUAGGAUUGAGAAGGCUGCAACAUACGAUCAGAUAAAAGCAGCGAUCAAGUAUGUAUUCUGAAUAUUUUGCUGUAGAUACCUAUUCUAAAACAUUAAAUAGUUCAAGUAUAAUGUUGUCGUAUGCAUGAUAUCAGAUUUUAGAUAUAUUCUUUCUUUAAUAGGAGUACUUGCUAUGCUCGAUCUCUUAUUCUAUUUCGUGUGGCUUAUGUACGGUGUCAGAGACCUCAGGUAUAGUAUUUUGAUGCCAGAAGACUUGGGAGGUGGUGUAAUUUGUUCUGAUGGUGGGAGUUCCUUAUAUGUAUAUCUUGCAUUAUUCUAGUCUUACUCCUCAAUCAUUAAUGAUAGGGAAGAAUCCGAGGGCAAGCUGAAAGGAAUCUUGGGUUAUGCUGAUGAGGACUUGGUUUCGAUGGACUUUGUUGGUGAUAACAGGUGCUGUCUUAUGUAUAUAUAUAUAUAUAUAUAUAUAUAUAUAUAUAUAUAUAUAUAUAUAUAUCACAAAGAAAUUAGUACAGGAACACUCGUGGUUACUGAGAGUAACUCCCUGUUGCAGCUGCUUUUUAUUCUGUUUAAUUUGAAUCGUUCAAACAGGUCGAGCAUUUUUGACGCCAAAGCUGGGAUUUCUUUGAAUGAACAUUUUGUUAAGCUCGUGGCUUGGUACGAUAACGAAUGGGGUUACAGGUACUUUAAAAGUUUGUGUAUCUUAGGUAUUUGGUGGACUUCUCCUCUUACUGUCUUUUAAAUUAUUAUUAUUUCUUUUUUGAAUUUUACAGCUCGCGUGUGGUCGAUCUGAUUCGUCACAUGGCUACCACCAAGUGAAAUUUAGUUGCUUAACCCACUAUCUGCUGGUGUCGACUUGUUUGUGGUUUAUGUUUUCUUUAAAAUAAUUACCGUGUGAUUGGACUCGGGAUGGUUGUGUGACGCGACUGAUCUUUGUCUUAGUCGAGACUCGCGUGGAUCGAAUCUGGAGGAUCGUUUUUUCUACUGGUUGUGAUUGGUAUAGCCGGAAUCACCAGGCUUCUUGCACCAUGUUUUAGCUUCUGGUAAUUAGCUGCUACUGUUUCUUUAGACUGAGGUGAUGGUGAUUAGCCUUGCGGUCGAGAACUUGUGCUCGGUCUGUGGGCUAGUGUUUUCUAACAAUUUUACAUGUUUCCAAGUUGUGUUUUCAGUUCACUCAUGGUCUCUAUUUUCUACAGUUCAUAUGAAGUUUUAUUAAGAUUUUAUUAAGCCUUUGAACCGAGUAGAGUUCUUUUUUUUUUUUUUUGACAAAUGUUUGCCAAACACAAUGCAGAAAGAAGAACAGAGUCGUUAAAUCUCUCUUAACAUUCUGUAGUAAAGAUCCUCAGAGUACAAGAUAUUUCUCUGCGAAACCAUUUCUCUUAAAUCUCUCCGAAACCAUCAUCAUUCUUCUCCUUCCCGUGUCAAUAGGAUAAUCAUUCUUCUCCUUCCCGUGUCAAUAGGAUAAAGAUACAAGGCUAGCUCCGUUGGUGAUCAACCACAACAAUAUCCUGCAAUCAGGGCUGAUGGUAACAGAGAUUAACGUGUCAUAACAUGCAAUAUGUCGACUGAAAGUCAUCCAUAUUUCUUCCAAUCUGUAGAUACAAAGCCUACAAGUCCAGUUGAAGUACUUGUAAAAAGUUUAGUGCCUAUCCAAUAAGAACUAUCAAACAAUAUUGGAACCAAAGACUUCCGUUAGUUAAGCCAGUAUUACCUCUAUUAAGAUUAUCUUAUAAAAUUAAGAAACCAAGAUCCAGAAAACUUACAUCAAAUCUUUCACCAAAGAAUGUAGUAGAAUAUGAAGCAAGUAGAAUUUGCACGGAAAGCCAAAAUUUUACCUGUAGAUUUCCAGCGAGGACUACUGGCUUCGAAGAGUCAUACAUCCCAAAGUAAAGACCACGAUAGACCAUAAUCCCAACGCAUGAAAUAUUAAAUCCUUUCUAAAGUCCAGCAAUGCCAAACCCAACUGCAGGGUCUUCCGGUAAACAUCACCAAGACCACUGAAUUGCCGUUCCCCGCCCUUCUUCGCUGCCUUUGCAUCAUUUGCCAAAUGCGUACGAGCAUAGUCCACAGAGUACACGAAAACCACUGAACGAGCACCAGCAGCACCACCUGAAGCUAGAUUGCCAGCAAACCAUUUCCAGUGUCCAUCUUUGUCUUUCUUAAAAUUAAACAUCCUUUUGAAGGAAUCCUUCAAGGUAAAGUUCAGAGCCUGGAAGCGAUAAACUCAGUUUAUCAGUAAGUGGAGCUGAAGGGGGGAAAAAGCACAAUAAGCAAAACGGUAAGAAGGGCAAUUGGUAUUCCAGAAAGUGAAACUAUAAAUCAAACUAUAAAUAAUGCCAUUUGUUUCAUAUAUAUAAAGUGACUGCAAAAAUUGUACAUUCUUUUUUGUACAAAUUAUCAUAAAACAUGAUAACUAUGGGUAAAUUGAACCAACUGGUGACUGGUUAAUUUAACCGACUGAUGCUCCAUUUCCACAUUGUAACAACUGCUUGUAGAGAACAGAAAUCAUUCCAAUAAGUAGGUCAUGCAUCAAAAGCCAAGACCAAGCAGCAUGAAGUUUGAUGGUCACACAGAUUCCGCAAUUUUAGUUACCACCACUAUGCUGACAAACUAGAUUACAGAUCAAUAUCUGAGACUAUAACACUGAAAUCACUGUUUGAUGAUGGCUUAUCUAUGUUCGCAACAUAAGUUUUGAUAUUUAGACAAAACAUGAUCUAUAGUACAAGAAUGUCAUUAACGAAGAAAAACAUAUAAUGACACAGUAAGAAGAGUUUCUGAGCAAAAGAACAAUAUCAAAGUAGUUAAAAGACCAUGAAAACCAAGCCAAAUCCAGCCUGUUAACUACCAGACAUUUAAAGAAGCAGGUGCAAACUGAAACUUGACGAUCCAACACGCCUUCAUGGUGAUUUUUGUAUGAAGAAAUUCUGGGAUUAAAUUGAAUAAAUGUGUAACACAAACACAUAUAAGUUUACCUGAGCGGCAAAAUAACGAAUGACAUUAGCUGUGUUCCCUCUCCAUAGAGACAAAGCACCUUCAUCCUUAAUCGUUCAGGCAAAGCUGUCUCUCAUACAAAGAUGGCUACACAGGCUGCAGUUCAAAGCUUGUGGACCUCGAGAAAAUCUGGACCCGAGGGGGAAUGGGCUGGCAACUUUCUGCAUUACGAUUGGGUGAUUAACUUGAUCAGCCAUGGCAUGCCGAUAAAAUGACCUACAAAACAACCACUUUGAAGUUCUGCAGAAGAUAUUCUGAGAUUCAAGCAACAUUACUAAGAUAAAUUAUAACAUAUGGUCACUGCCAUAUUAACUCAAAGCAUGAGCAAUUACCAAGUCGUAGUAUUCCUUCAAAGAAUUAACAUGUCUACAGAUGUGGUGAGGUAGGAAAAAGUCAAAUGAACAAACAAUUUGCAUUACAGGACAUACAAAAUGUAAUAGCAUGAACAAAAUAGAAGGAAUAAAUCAUCAUAAAAGCAAACUCUAUUGUUAGUUCCAACUGAACUGCCAUGAUCACGGAACACAAAGUCUAAUUACUAGUUGAUCAUUAAACAACAAAACUUUGCUCCAACUACUGCUACAGCUCUGUUAUCUUUGUAUUCUUAAAAAAUCAAUGGGUCAAUGAAGAUGCAGCUGGCAGAUUUUGCGUUGGCUUCAUGCAUCUCUAUUAAUUUAUAACUCAUAGAUGAAAAGGUGGAUAUUCUUUAGAGAUCUGAGCAAAUGAAGCCAAAACUGCAAUCACGAAUACCCAACAGGCACCCUUGACAAGGUAAUAUGGGUAAUAUCAUCCCCAACAAUCUCAACUAUGUAUUAUAAAUUUAGCCACAUAAAAACCGCAAGUUAUAAAUCAAAAUAGGUAUCGUGAUGAGAUGAGAAGCUACAAGCUGCAAGAUCUAAAACCUCCAAGUCACCCUGAGAGGUCAACCACCUCGAAAGCUAUCGAGGACGGAAUUUGCCAACAAGGAUUACAGCAAAAGAGAGCAGAUGGGAUUCGUACACGAAAUCAAGUAUAUAGAACAAAAUCACCCUUAAAACCAUUGCAGAUCUACCUGAUCUAACAGUUUGCAGGACAACCAAAUCAACAGUCAUACCCACCAUAUCCAUGUCUUAAAACAAGAUUCCCAACCCUAAAUCGAUCGAAGUAUGAACGAGAAAAUGGAAAGCGCGACAACGAUAUGGAGAAAGAAAUAGAUAUCUACCAAACGGAUAGCUUAAUCAAAGAUACCACCGAUCCGAAACUUAGUAGAGAGCACACUUCUAAAUAUCUUCAAAAAGACUCGAAAAUAGAAAGAUGGAAGACAAGAAUCGAUCGAUCCACUCAGAUACACGAUCAGCAAUCACAUAAACGACAAGGCCUUUAAAAUAGAUUCAUAUUCUUAGAAAUCAAGAAAGAGUUCAUAUGGAAGUAGGGUUUUACCCUUCCGAAGCGUCUCCCUCUUGUCUCGGAGACAAGGCGAGAUGCGUUGGAAACGCAACGACGAGACCGAGAGAGGGAGUGGAGCGGUUAAGCCACUCCUGUGCUGUAUCAAAGGGCUUUCUGUUAACGUGCAAACCAUCGUCAGCGGGACUUGAUAUAUUGACCGUUGGAUCUCAUCAAAGUACCGACGAGCAAUAUGAUGAGCGGCGGAGCUUGAUUCUUUGUAAUUUGGACCAUAUAUUUCGAAGGUGCACGUGGCGGAGUAAAAAAAAAAAUACAACCAAGUCAUGCUUGUUGACCCGUUCGUAUACCGACUACUGUGUACCUCCUAUACGCAGGUGGGACCCGAUCAGUGAAGGAAGGCGGCAGUGACGACAUUCAAAAAGGUCGUCGGAGGCAUACUUCCACCUGCGUGCCGGCCACGUGACCGAACGCCGCUACCUACUGAACCGUGGCGAAUCUCUAUCGCAAUCGAGGCGAACCGGCGGAAACGGCUUUACUGGAGAGGAGAGAGAGAGAGAGAGAGAUCAGAAAUGAGAAUAAUAAUAAUAAAUAUUUCGAAUAUCAAUUUUCUUUUACUCAAAAGAUUAUUUAAAUCAAGAAAAGCUUAAAAAAGUGCCUCUCAAGACCAAAAUAGGGCAGAAUACAAAACUCAAGAUAAUUUUUUUUUCAAAAAAAUAGCACGGUAAAAAUAGUAUGAGUAAUAGAUUUGAGAUUUAAAUCUAACCUCAUGUACGUUAUUUAAUAUAAUAAAAAUAAAUGUACAUGCGCAAAAUAUGAAUAUUUAUAAUAUUAACCACACAUCACCAAAAACCUCAUGCCACAACUGGAACAGGUCAACAACGUUGGCCAAACGACCGAUUCCCACGCACGUAAAACGCUCCUCGCAACCGCCAAGCUUUGAGGUAGCAUCUCCGACUAUCCAUCCCGGCAACUGAAACACGCUAUAAAACCCUCCUUCCCAUCCCACAUUCCUCCUCAGGCCUGCACAGGAGGAGAAACAAGCCACCCCAAAUAAGUUUCUCUUUCUCUCUCGCUACCAUCUCUGCCGUAGCUCCAAGGCCACCGUCGUCAGCAAUGGAGAUGGGAAAGAUCGCCUGUGCCAUCCUCGUUGCCGCCGCGUCGGCCACCACCGCCCUUGCAGCCGAGGCCCCGGCUCCCGGCCCCGCCAGCGCCUCCUUCGCGGUCACCCCCGCUUUUGGAGCCGCCGUCGGGGCCGCCGUCCUCUCCUUCUUCGCCUUCUACUUGCAGUAGCCUCAAUGAGCGAGAGAGAGAGAGAGGGAAAGAAAGAAGGCAGCCCUAUAUGGGGAACGAAUGACACGACUGUUCUCUUUGUUUGUGAUCUAUUUCAACGUUGCAUCGUCCUUUGACUACCAUCGUUGUUGCCAUCUUUCUAUUAUGGAAUUAAUUUCCGAUUGAAAUGAAUGCACCAUAACAUUUGCAAUCACUUUGUUACCAAAGCUAUUGUUAAUUCGAAUUAGGGAGCUAAUCCGACAUGAAUCUUCCAUUGUUAUCAUAGCCAUCAGAGUCAAAGCAAGUUGCAUCACCAAACUCCUAAACGGACGACACCAUCACAUGAUGCAUAAGCUUGGCAGUGCAACAAUCAAAAGAAAACUAAGCACGUCGCCAUCGUAAUAUACACCCAACGUGAUGCAAAAGACUCUUCGAGGAGUAAUUAUUGAGUUUAAAUUUCC